RNAcentral lists this long non-coding RNA (51999 nucleotides) under Vitis vinifera (wine grape). Its description in RNAcentral is "long non-coding RNA (VVIN_LNC007538)". Lineage: Eukaryota; Viridiplantae; Streptophyta; Magnoliopsida; Vitales; Vitaceae. The record is from RNAcentral.
UUCUUUUUUUCUUUCUUUUUCGUUUACUACUGUUUUUUAUGAUCUUGGGUGGUUGAUUUGUAGGUGCAACACCUGAUAGAGAAGUGCUUGAUCUUCCACAUGAGUAAAGAAGAGUGCAUGGAAGCCCUCUCCAAACAUGCAGACAUCAACCAAGUCAUCACCUCCACCGGUUAGCUCCUUUAGAUCAUGCACGAAUCUCUCUCUAUGUGUUUGCCUUUCGUUCACAUAACUCCGUACGGUCGUAAUAUUUUUGUAUAAAAAUUUAUGUGUGCAGUGUGGAAUGAAUUGGAGAAAGAGAACAAGGAAUUCUUUGAGGCCUACCAUACUCAAACCCAAACCAGAGAUGACAGAAUGUCAGAGGCUGAGACAAACGAAAUGAUCCAGAAGAUGAUAGCAGACUCCAAAGAUUCGGACUAAUCAGAACAUUAAUCCUCGACAACUCUCCCUACCUUUUGCUUCUGGUUGGUACGAACGUAGUUGCCCAUCUCAGAAUCAUCCAUAUCCAGCAGCCAAUGAACUUGUUGUACAUGCAAUAACUUUGAUUCUACGAAUUGGGUAAAUUUCUAUUGGGAAAUACUCCUGGAAUCUUGGUGUAUAUAUCAUGCGUUUAUUUGUGGGAGUUGUUGAGUAGUCUUGUCUUCAGUAGUGGGAUAUAGAGAAGAUCAAUGUGAUGUUGGUAGGAAAGCCAGUUGGAUGGGCCAGUUGACGCAGCCCAGUAGUGACGGCAACCUUUUUUGGGAUUGAACCAACGGUCUAAAACGACUGCCAUUGAGCUGAUCUCACUUCUCAAUAAUCGAUGUUGUAUGUGAUGUCAUCUCCUUCAAUCACUCCAUAAUAAUAAUGGAAAAUGUCGGAUGGAUGGGUCCAUUGAAUCGGACAUCACAUACAUGAUCAUGCGUUGGCACUUGUCACUGCAACUGUGUUGUUUCGAUUGAUUGAUAGAUUUUCCUUCAAACAAAUAAAUUGUGUUGAACAACAGCAUAAAAGAGAGAUUAUGCCCUCAGUGGGGAUGGUCUUGGUUUUAAGACUUUAGAAUUUAUUUCCAAGUUGGAUGAGUUGUUAAGUCAUGAAUAUAGGUUGAUAGCUAGGUUUGAUCAACCAAAAAACAAUAAACUCUGACCAUUUAAAAUUAUUUAAAAAAUUAAUUAUAGAAUUAAAUAUUUCAUAUCAUGAGUAGGAAUUGAUGUUGGAUUCCAGUUAAACCCACAACUAUACCUAUUAUUUUCAAUUUCACGAAUCCAAUUCAAAUUUAAAAACCAGCACAGUCCAAUCAAAUGGAAUUUGACUAAAGUCGAAUUCAAUCAUAUUAAAUCCACCCUAAUUAUUUUAUCAUGAUUUCCCUUCAAAUCAAACUUUGAUAUCAUAUUAAACUAUCAAUUUUUUUGACAUUUAAAUUUACAGGAUUUAAGGGGGAAAGAAAAUAAGGUGAGAUAAAGAUAAAAGAUCAAAAUUUUUAAUUAAUCCAAAAUAUGAGAAGAGAAAAAGACAACCUUCAUUUUGGAAGUUUGCCUAACUUAUUCCAAAGAAGUAUCAAUGCUCAAGACGCAUGAAAAAAAAUGAAUUGCAGGGUUCUCUGGACUAGCUAUUGAACCUACUUUUGCAAUAUCAAACUCAGCAUUAGUGAAUAGCAGAAAAAGAAAUCUUAAUCAUGAGUAUUUUUGGGGUUAGCCAAGAUUUUCAAACAAGGUUGGUACGAUCUGUCAUGUUGUCAGAUGGAGACUAGACCUUGUAAGGAUAGUUGAGUGGCUAUCUAUGGAGAUAUCUAGUCCUUUUUGGUGGGCAUUAUUUAUAUUAAUCAUAGUUUGUAAAGAAAGGGACGGAUCCUUCACUUAUGUCUGGGCGUGUUAUUGCCUCCUACCUCAAUUAACUUCUUUGUUGCAUGAAUGCAUUUUUUUUUUACCUCUUUUGGGUGCAUUUUGGCCUGGUAACUGGUCCUUUCUGUCCAGGUAUAUAGCUCUACAUUGAUCAGGGCAUAGGCGAGGAAGCAGAACACUUUGUGGGCAAAUGUGCAACAGUUGAGCACAGCUCCUCUUCAAUGAGAAGAUUAAACACGAACAAAAUAUUACAAUGGUUUGGGCUGAAUUUUUUUUUUCUUUUACUGUUACAUGCAAUUUUUGGAUGCAAUGAACCAAGAGUCUUUUGACCUUUGUGAUGUCUUUUCCAGUGGUAUAUGUUGAUUGCUAUUUUUAGAUUUUUCUAGCAUUGACCAAAGUUUGAUUUGUCUUUCCCAUUGUCUUACCUAAGCUUAUUAUACAUUGUUACCUUUUUCAAGUAAUGCGUGCUCCUCUGCGUACCACAUAUUAUUAGGCCCUUUUUUAGGAUUCUUGAUAAAUGUACUGCUAUUAGAAAAAAUAAUAUUUAAAAUAUCGUAGAUUGGAAAAUAAUUCCAAUUCUAAGAUACUUUUGAACACGUAGGAUAACACGUAGGAUGAGAUAUGAAAACUCAUUCCCCCCUUUCCAUUUCCCUUCUCGUUUUUCUUCUCUGCAUCAAAACUCCUCUACCUGAAAACAUAUUAUCUCGCAUGUUGAACUAUGUUUUAUCUCGCACGCUGAACAUGGGUUAGAGAUCCUUGCCUCAACACCAAUAGGAAGGAAGUGAAGUGCAGAUCUGAGAAACCAUUGCCCCCGGUGUUUUUUGUAAGUUUUGUGGUUAUAUUUGGUGGUGUGGUUGUGUUUGGUCAUCGAGAAAGUGUGGAAAAGUUGUAAAAAAAAUAAAGUUUUCGUUUUUUUUUACAAUGAAACUGAGUAGACUAAAAAUUAUGGAGAAAGUUUUAAUUUUUUUGUGGUUCGGUUUGUUGUGAUUUUGUUUGGUUGCCAAGAAAAUGUGGGAAAGUUGAAAAAAAAAAUUUUCCCAAUAUUUCCUACCAGUCCAGCCAGCGUACAUGAUACAAAAUCUAUCCAAUUUUUUUUAUAAAAAAACAUAAGAUACUAUUUGGUAAUCUAAUCAUGAUUUGAGAGGAAAGGUUGUGUUUUUCAGCCUGGCUCAAAAAUCGUGGAUUUAGGGUUUGUGAAAUUUAAAUCCAAUGGCACAAAAGCAAAGAGACCCUUAGAACAAAUCCAGAAAGCACGAGCAAAAAAAAAGGCAUUUUUUUUUUGUUUGUUUUGGUUGGGGCUUUUCAUGGAUUUUCUCGGAAAUCAAAGGAGGAUGAAUUUUCCUGGAAAGCGAAUAGGGGAUGGAUUUUCUUGGGAAUCAAACGGGGGUUGCAAAAAAAUAAAAAAUAAUAACCUGAUUAGAUUAGUACCUGUAAGAAUUGAAAUUCAAAUUUAAAUUCAAAUUCAAAUCCAAUGAGAUUCUUCACUGGGCAAAAUGGAUAUACUAACUUUUUAUUUGUUAAAAUAAAAAAUAAAUAAGAGACACCUUCAAGUUAUUAUUUGGAAAAAUUAAAAAUACUAUCUUUUUAUUUGGCAAAAUAUUGAUUAUAAUGUAUACAGGUGAUAAACUUUAAACAUUUGGUUGUACGGUAGGUAAUACUAAUUAAGAGAUAUAAUUUUUUUUUUCUUGAAGAGACACUUUCAGUAUAAAGUAAAAUUUUUUAACAAAUAAUGAAAAUUGUGGAAAGUGUCUCUUGAAGAGACCUUUAGUAUAAUUUUAUUUUUUGGGAAUUGUAGAAUGUCCCUUUUUAAAAUUCGAAAUUUCCACUGAAAAAUUGUGGAAAGUGUCUCUUUAAGAGACACUUUCAAUAUAAACCCAAUUUUUAAAAAAUUAUGAAAGGCGUCCGAAUAUAAUUCCAUUUUUUUGUAAUUAUGGAAGGUGUCUCUUCAAGAGACACCUUCAACAUAAAUUCAAAAUUUUCCACUGUUUGAAUGAAAAUUGUGGAAAGUGUAUUUUGAACAAACGCUUAUAGUAUAAACCCAAUAUUUUUUAACACAUUUCACAAUUCCCAAAAAAUGGAAUUAUAUUGAAGGUGUCUCUUGAAGGUCUAGACACCUUCCAUUAUUUUAAAAAAAUUGGGUUUAUAUUGAAAGUGUCUCUUGAAGAGACACUUUCCACAAUUUUCAUACAUUGAAGAGAGACAUUUUUAGCUUUAAAAUCAUUUCCACAAAUUUUAAUACAUAUUGAAUUUUAUGGAAUUGUGUAAAGUGUCUUUCCAAGAGACACCUUUAGUAUAAAUAUAAUUUUUUGGAAUUCUAGAAGGUUUCUCUUCAAGAGACAUCUUUAACUUUAAAAUCAAAUUCAUAAAACAUUCAAAUUUAUCAAAUUAUGGAAAGUGUCUCUUCAAGAGACACCUUUAAUGCAUAUUGGAUUUUUUGCCAUGUGGAAAGUGUUUUUUUAAGAGACACUUUUAAUAUAAAUCAAUUUUUUUGGAAUUGUAGAAGGUGUCUCUUGAAGAGACACCUUUAGCUUAAAUUCAAUUCUUUCAUGAUUUUGAAAUUUAUGAAAGGUGUCUCUUCAAAAGACACUUUUCACGUGGCCAAAACUGUCGUAAAUCUAUCAAUAUUUUCACAACUAUCAUUUUUUAAUUAUAAUUUUUUAAAAUUGCCGCAAAAGUUAAAAAAGCCCCCCCUUUUUAGAUUGUUUCUACCUGAAUCAUUUCAAUGACAAACCAAUGUACAAAAUUUUGAAUGGUUCCUCUGAGAGCUUGUUUCAUAUUAAAGAGAGCUUAGCUUCAAGCUUGGAUCUCUACUUCUAACUCUUCAUACUUCUGAUUUAAUGUCAAAGCGUCUUGACUUAACCAUCAAUACAUCCCAUACAGGCAAGUUCCCCUAAGUAAUUGACUUCAUGGUCUGCAUCCUAGCGAAUUCUUCUUCUUGAUUAAGCUUACUUAUCUAGAUAGUCUUAGUAUAGGUAGUGUUGGGAUAUCGUUGGAUCAUAAGCAUAUGCUUUCUAAUAAUUUAGGGUUUAAACAUUUUACCUUUGAUUAAAUGUUCCCUGACAAACUCUACUCGUUGAAGAAAGUCUCAAUGACCUAGUAAUCUUCCACCCAAUCAAUCGUUCUAUAAGUUUUGGCACUUGUGCAAAAUGGCUACUAGUGAGAUGAAGGCUCUCUAUAAGACAAUGGGUUAGAAUUGUUAACUUUAAACCCUUAAAAGGGGUUUAUAUAGACCUUUUUGUGAAUAUAAUUAAUUUAAGUCUAUCUAAGGUUUGGAUUACUUAAUCUUACACACUAUAUUUAAUUAAGUAAUUAGACCAAUUUAUAAAAAUCAAAUUAAUCAAUCAUAAAAUGUCAUGUAAUCUUAGACUUUUACCAAAACACCCCAUGUAUAUAAAAGAUCAAUUUUCCAAAAAAAAGAAACCUCAAAACUUUAUGUCAACAAAAAAUAUGAACUCAAGUAAAUGACUAUUAGGACUCAUAAGAAAUAUGAACUUCUUAAUAAUUCAAUUUUGAAAUUGACUCAACACUUUAUUAGAAAAAAUCAAUUGCACUCCAAUAUCCUAUGAAAUUACAUAAACAUGAAAAUUAAUUAAAUUAAAUUCAAUUAAUUUUCCAAGUCCAUGAUCUACUAUCCAUUAUAUGUAAACUUUCCAUAAAUUUGCAUUCAAAUUAAUCUAAUGAGGUAGAUGUUACCAACCUUUCAAAAUUACCUCUACAAUACUUGAAUUUGGAUCCUCUUAUUUUGUGAUUAAUUGAUACACUGUAAUUUACAAACAAAAUAUGUCAAAUUCUGCUAAAAGAGCCACUAUGGUCAUGGUUUAUAUGAUUACAAAUCCUUUCAAUUACCCAAGUUAACAUACUAUCUCAAUUAUAUAAGAUAUCAUGGUAUCUAAACAUAUCUAUUGUCACAUGUCUUAAUCAAGACAAUCAAUUUAUAGGUAAUAUAUGAUCAUCUUAAGAUCUCAUCCAUAAGUCAAAUAACUGGUUUAAUAUUCUCUCAAGAUUGAGACCUCAUGUAACAUAGUAGUACUUCAAGUAUUAUCUGCACCUCCACGAAUUAUGAGAUUUUCUCGAAUUUCUUCUUACUUUAAGUGCUUCUUAUAUAUACCUUGAGUUGUUUUAUGAUUUUCCUUGGGUGGCUUUCUUUUGGUUUGGCCACUAGAUAUUUAUGGCUUAAAUCAGGUUUACUUAAUCAAUAUUUAUUUUGUAGAGACGUUAAUCUAUUCAUUAAGCCUAAGUAGCUUUAGGAGGCCAUAUUCUAUACUCAAGUUGGAGAUAUCAUAUUUUUUACUUCUUCAAUCAAUAUAUAACCCUCCAGAACAUACUAAGGCUAUGUUUGGUUCCCAGAAAGUACAAAGGAAAGAAAAAAAAAUGAUAAGGAAAAUGAUUUUCUCAUAUUUGGUUGUCCUAUGAAAAAUAUCAAAGAAAAUCAAAUAUAAUUAAAACUAAUUAAACACUUAUGUAUUUUUAAAUUAUUUAAUCUUUAUAUUGAUGAGUUAAAAUAAAUAAAAUGAGUUUGAAGUAACAAAAAAAAUAAUUUAUCAACUUUUAAUCUAUUUUUUUAUUUUCCUUCACUUUUUCUUUCCUUCUACUUUUCCUUUGUAUUUUCUUUCCCUCGCAUUUUCCCUCAAAUUUUCCGAGAACCAAACAUAGCCUAAGAGUUUGUUUCACAAAGAAACAUUUCUAGCAUAAAAAUAAAAAUUUUAAAAAAAAAUUAAAAAACUAUUUUAAAAAAAAAACAAAAUUUAAAAAUCACUUGUAGUGAUUUUUAAAGAAAUAUGUGAUCGGUGAUUUUUCCAAAAAUAUUUUCAGAUAAAUUACUUUAACUAAAAGCACUUCAGACAUUCCCAGGCCCACGAUGGAAUUUGGUUCUAUAAUUCUAUUAUUAUUAUCUGCUGUUCAGGAAUGUUUUGAUCCAUUCAAAAGGAUAUAUGACUUUGGAAUACACAUUCCACAUGGCACUCAGCUCUUUCUAAUCAUUCCUUCUAUCUCUAACCAUCAAUAUUAAAUCCAUCCUAGUUGCCCUGAGUUUUACUAAGUCUACACAAUAGUGAUUAACGAUACACCCAUGUUGUUGAUUAAAUGUGAUCAUCAUUCUGUUGGUUCAUCAACUGCUAGGCUACAUCCAUUCAUGGGUAUGUUUUUUGCCUUCCAUUUCACAUCAUCGUUUGUCGGUAUGAUAUACUGCAAACGGAAAAGGACUGGUAAAAGACAAGCAAGUUGAAGCACAGCAAUCUUGACGAUGAGCACACAUCAAAAGGUGGUUGGCGCCAAACAUGAAUAAUACAAGCAAGUAGGAAAAUUGCUUCUUGAUUCUAAACCAAUACGCAAAUGACAUGUUGGCUAUGCUCCACCUAAAAUGAUAGGUCACAAGUCACUUCUAUGUGUUGACAUGGCACAUGGCACAAAAGGCUAAUACACCAAUAUCUUUCAUUGGGAAUUCUCUUCUCGUUGUUUUUGUUAACUCAAGGUGGCAGAUUAAAGAGAAAAAAAAAAAAAGGAGAAACAAAGGCAUACAAAUGAUCAACUCUCUGGUAUCUCUGCACCUUUACUAGGGUUCCAGUUGAGAGAGAACAUGUAUUUGAAGAAUAUAUCUUGGGCAGGUACGUACCACAUUUUGUUUGGAUUCAUGUCUAUCAUUGGUUUUGCUUUUGGUUUAUUGUGCAACAUGGGGCUCACUCAUCAAUCAUCAUGCCCGGAACUUUAUAACGAAAUUUGGUCUAUAUAUAUUCAAAUGAAGUUAGAUUUUGUGUUGGAAAUUUGAGGUUGAUUAAUUCCCAUGCAGUUGAUCCUGUAAUAAUGGUAUUUAUGUUUAAGAAAUGAUCUACAAAAUGAAUCAAACUGAUCUCCUAGGUGUAAAAACCGAUAAGAAGCCUAGGCUCCAAAAUGGGUUGAGUCAUAGGAUUGGUAUAAUGUUAGUAAGCAGCAGCCAAACGACACUUGGAAAGAAACAAAGGGUGGGCGAGGUGAUUGAAAGAGAUGGAAGAUGGAAUCUUGUCCAAAUGAUCAGAGCAGAGCCCGUAGAAUGGUCGAGAAUCUCCACAAAGGGCUGCCCCUUUCUCUGUGUUUGUAUGGGGAAGGAGAUGAAAACAACCUGUAAAGCAUAGACAUGACACUGAGCAGAUCGAGCCACGAUAUUCAGAGCAAGCAAGUGGAAAAAGGCAGGAGAGUGGAGCUUCAUAUCAACAUCGAUCCGGAUGGAUUCCAUAAUUCUGGCAACCAAUCCAAGUGCUCCACAUCACAUAUGCUCGCAAGCGGGGGAGAGCACUGGAGCUGACUUACAGAGAUACCCAUGAAUUCUCAAAGGAAUGACUGGAGAAUCCCUAAAAGUUCAGAAAAUAAAACCAAAAAGUUGAAUGAAAAAAUAAGCUGAGAAUAUAUAUAUUAAAAAAAUUUAAAAUCAAUAAUUCUUUUUAAUGCUUUUCCCUGUAAAAUCAAAUAUGAGAGUUAUUUUUUUUUAGUAUUAUUUCUUUUCCGAUACUUUCUAGAAACCAAACAUAAUCUUAAAAAAAAAAAUUAAUGAAAUGAAUGAACAUAUCAAUAAAAUUUACUAACUCUAGAUAAAUAUUUUAUCAUAUUUAAUAUUAUCUAAAUAAUUAUAUAAAGGUGUAACGUAAAAAUAAUUAUUUUAAAAAUAAAUUAAUGUGAAUUUUUUGUUUCAACUCAUGCAUCAUGUAUUAAGGUAUUUUUUUUUUAAUUGAGGAGGAAAACUCUGAGAUAUGUAUGGAUUAUUUUAUUAGAUUGGAGUGAUGGUGUUAUGACUCGCAGUUGAUCUCUGAUCGAAUCAAACGAUUCAUAUAUAAGUUGAAAUCAAGUUAUUGUCUACUCACAUGAUACCAAUUCAGUAUGGAAUUGGUUACGACAGAGAUGGAUACAUUGCGACUAUGACCAAGACGAAUACGUUUCUGCAAACAGGUGCCGGUACCAACCGAUCAUUUGAACCAUGGAUGCAUCUGGUAGGACCAUGCCAUAGGAUGCCUUGAGUUUGUCUGUUCGGAGGAUGUCGAAUUGUGGAGGACCUACUGAUCACGUGGGAGGGGUGAUGAGGCCUUUCGAAUGGGUAUUCCUACAAGACAAAGAACGCUCGUUUACGAAUCUUCUCCAAUCUCUUCUCCACCAAUUAUCGUUUAUCUCUCACGUGGGACUUCUGUCCUCACCCUCCAAUCACCCCCCUUCACCCUAAUCAUAUAUUCAUUCGUGACUUCCCGGACUAUGCACUCCUUGAUCAUCAGGCUCCUACCAACUCCCUCAUUCUUCUUCUGUUUCUCCUUACUCUUGAUUUUUUCUGCUUGGUUAGGGUUGAUACUUGGUUUUCAGAGGUCACGGACUAGCAGUUAUGGGGGACUCUUCUGCUUCAUACAUACAUAUGGUGACUCAAAUCAUAUGUAACAUCAUUUUUCAUGCCCAGGUCUCCCAUAUUUGAUCUUGUUUUUGCUGAUAUGUAUUGGUGGGUUGAAUUGCAGGUACAACACCUAAUAGAGAAUUGUUUGAUCUUCCACAUGAGUAAAGAAGAGUGCAUGGAAGCCCUCUCCAAACAUGCAAACAUCGAACCCGUCAUCACCUCUACCGGUUAGUAUUUUUCGAGUUUGUUUGAUGGUGUUUUUAAAAAACGGUUCUAAUUUAAAAAGUGUUUUUAAAGAAAAAUUAGAUAUUCAAUUAUAGCGUCGAUUGAUGAUUCUUGGAGAAAAUUUAUAAAAAGAUACUUCUACUAAAAACACUUCAAAGAGAAAUAUUCUCGCAUGCAUGCUAGUUUCAUUAACGGGUCAAAUUUCCUCGACCCAGCAUACUCCACAUCUCGAUAUACCAUCAUGCAUGAGCAUGUGCCCUAUGUCUUCUUUUCAUCAAGUAAAUGGCAUAUAUAGUGGUUGCAUUAUGGCCUCUAGAAAAAGUUUGUGCAUGCAGUGUGGAAUGAAUUGGAGAAAGAGAACAAGGAAUUCUUUGAAGGCUACAACACUCAAACUCAAACUAAGGACGACCGUCUGUCAGAGGCAGAGACCGACGAAUUGAUCCAAAAGAUGAUAUCAGAUUCCACCUCUAAAGAUCACCGGAGCUCCUCCAAAGAUCCUGCAGACUCCUCCAAAGACCCAGACACAUAAACCAUAAUAUCCCAUUGAAAAUGAUCUCUACCCCACAUCCAGAAAAGGGCAGAGACUUACUGUAUAUGGUACAUAAAUAUGCCGCUCAUCCCCUUUGUUUAUGUAUUAUGAACUCAUUCAACAUGCAAUAACCAAUCUCAUUCAGUCAUCUUUUAGACUGCAAAUGGUUUAAUUCUAUUGAAAAUUGCAAGAUGAACCGAAUAGAAGUAAGGAGUGUGACUCCUGGAAUCUUCGUUAAGUCGUGUGUUUUUGUAGAGAUAUAUAGAGAAUGGCAUGUGAUGUUUGUGGUGGAGCGAUCAUAGAUUCAUAUGACAUAAAGUGAUGGCAACCGUUUUUGGGAUUGAAGGAAUGGCCUGAAAUGACUGCCUCUGAGCUCUCACUUCAAUCUGUUGUCUUCCAUGCCCUCUACCUCUUUUAUGUUGGGCCGUGGGAUUACAGUGAAUGGGUCAAUGAAUGGGACUUGAUGUGUAAUAAAGCUUCUAAUUUUUAUUUUUUUUUCAUUUUUGAAACUCCUUUUUAGAUGAAUUUUCAACCAUGCUUUAUGGGUAGUUUACAUACUGCUCAAAAGUCAGAAGGCGUAGUGGUGUGUUUUUCUUACUUUGUCGAUGUGGGUUUUUCCAUUUUCAACUUUUUUUUCCCCCCUAAAACCUUGUUUUCCCUGUGUCUUUAGUUUUAUAUGGGGGACACAUAAGAAUCUUUCAAGUCUCUUUUAGGAUACCCUAUGAUGUGUUCAGCACAAUGCCUAAGAACCCAACUCGAUCUUUUGUUUGGUUUGAGUCAUUGCCCCAUAGUCCCAAUCUUUAAUUUCAAAGGAAAAAGAAAAUGAGACUUAUCACUUACAUCAAUAGGAACUGAUUGAAUAUUCUGGUUCAAAAUUACCACAUGGAGCUAUGCAUAUAUGGAUGUAAAUCAAAAUAAAUCUAAGAUUUGAGAAUUUUCUUCUAGAAAGGUUUAUAAUUUUGCAGUUAAUAGAUUCUAGACAUCAAUAUCCAAAGAAUGUGAUUGAUCAAACUGCAUUAGCCCCAAACGAUCGAGCAAUUGAAUGGUGCUUUCUUGUGGACCUCGACACCCUUCAAAUUCGUAAGCUUUUUGGCACAUGGUAUGCAUGUUUAGAUGACAUGUUAUAAUGGGCUUCAACGAAGGCAGCCAAGGAGAUAAAUGUAAUGGUAGGAGCAAAGAGUAAAUAGAACCAUGGCUAAGAUAGUGAUUGAUAAAUAGAUUUAUUAUUAGAGACAAGCAAGCAGUGUAGGGAGUGGGACCAGUGGGUCCAAAAGUCUUGAGAAGCAGACAGAUCCCACAUACCCUCUCAUAACUUAUGAUCUCCUAGCAAUCUCCGCUGCCCAUCCUGCAAUUACGAAGUCCGGUGGUGCCUUGGUUUUGAAGGACUCCAGAGAGAAAACCACCUGCAGGUUAAGAUUACAAAGCUUGAUUAUCAUUAGAAAAUUUCAAACAAAACUUUAGGGUUAUGUUUGGUUGCUAGAAAGUAGGAAAGAAAAAAAAAUAGUGAUUUUCUCUUAGUAUAAAGCAUAAAAGAUUGAUUUUCAGAUUUUUAAUGUAAAAUACAAACAGGAAAAAAAAAAAUAUUUUCUUGUUUUGUAAAAUGACCCAUUUCUAGGAAGUAUUUUUGAAAACCAAAAAACGUGUUUCCAAACAUGUUUUCCUCCAACUUUCUAUCUUUUUUUCUUCUCCACAAGAGGCAGGAAUCCUCAUCUCCACAAAAAAGCAAGCAUGAAGUUUAUUUCUGUUGUCUGCCACAACAACAGGAAAGAAAAUGGUUCUAGUUCUCAUUUUCUUUUCUUCUCCAUUUUCUCAGCAACUAAAUGCAUCCUUAAAAACCUCCAAUUGCAUAUCAAGCAACUACCCAAAAAAAUCCAUCUCAAUGAUACUAGUCCAUUUGACCAUUAUUUUAGGAACACUUCCAAUAUUUGUAACGUUUCAAAAAGUUUAUAAUUCAAGUGAUAGAAAGAUUAAAAUGUUUCAAAAAUUUUAUUAUUAAGUGAUUGAAAUAUUAAAAAUAUUUUUUAGAAUCAUUGAAAUUCACUCUGAGAAUGCAUUUCACAGUGAUUCGGGGAAGUAUUUUUAGUCUUUUUAAUACUUGAAAAUUUUUAUUUUUUAAGUAUUUUUCAAGUAUUAUAAAUGUUAAAAACUGUUGAUUUAGGUGAAACGAUUUAUGGUGAAAAUUAAAGAAAUCGAAAAGAAUAAAAACACACAGAUUUAACGUGGUUUGGCAAAUUACCUACGUCCACGGGAAUAAGGAAGAAAACUUUCACUAUGUAUCAAAUUAGGGUUACAUAAAAGGGUAUUUAUACUAAUCCUCAGGUAUUGAAAUUUCAAAAAUACCACUGAACGCCCCCUGCACCCCCCCCCCCCCCCCCAACCUAUCGUUCGCCCACAAUAAAAAAGAUACAGGCUUGAAUGACAAAUGUCAUCACUCCGACAUUUGCCUUCUUUUUUUCUCCAUAUGUCUUUCACUUAAUAUGAGCCACAUACUACAAUAAUCUCAACCUUGGCGAAUAUUCACUCCCUCCCUUAGGAGACAAGAAACAUAGCUUGUAACUCCACCUAGGACCAUAGGUUGGGGCAUUUCCUAUCUAGCAUUUGGAGACAUUAGCCAAGUUCAAGCAAUGCUUGAACUUUUUGUGGUAAUAGGCUUUGUCAACAUGUCAGUUUCAUUCUCAGAGGUGUGAACCUUCUCAAGUAACAAUUCACCAGAAGAAACCAAUUCCCUAAUCUUGUGAAACCUCACAUCUAUGUGUUUGGUCAUUGCAUGAUACACCUGGUUCUUUGCCAAAUAAAUAGCACUCUGACUAUCAUAAUAUAAUUGAACUCCACCUUACUGAAUACCCAACUCCUUGACCAAACCUGUAAGCCAUAAUGAUUCCUUUGCAGCCUCAGCUAUUGCCAUAUAUUCUGACUUAGUAGUAGAUAGCGUGGUAGACAUAACCUGUGGUAGACCUCUUGUUGAACAUGAUGCCAUAGUCUAUAGUACCCCUUAAAUAUCUAAAUAUCCACUUGACUACAUAGCAACCCAUUCUUCCCAGAUUUGAUAGAAACUUGCUCACCACACUAACAGCAUGUGCCAAAUCUAGUCUUGUACAAACCAUAGCAUACAUCAAGCAUCCCACUGCACUUGCAUAUGGAACCUUUGACAUGUCUUUCACUUCAUCAUUUGUCUUUGGGCAUUGAUUAGUAGACAAUCUAAAAUGAUUUGCCAAAGGUGUACUUAUUGGUUUUACGUUAUCCAUGUUGAACUUCUCCAGCACUCUCUUGACAUAGCUAUGCUGAGAUAACCAUAAUCUCCCUAAAGCUCUAUCCAUGUGAAUCUCCAUCCCGAGGAUUUUCUUGGUUGCACCUAAAUCCUUCAUGUCAAAUUCCUUGCUCAACAAAUACUUCAAUUUAUUGACCUCAAUCAUACUUUUUGCAACAAUUAACAUGUCAUCCACAUAAAGUAAUAGAAAAAUAGACGAAUUAUCAUCUAGGCUAUUUACAUAAACACAACAAUCAUACUCACAUCUCUUGUAGCCAAUCUUGAUCAUAUAGGAGUCAAACGGGACUACUUCAACCCAUAAAGUGAUUUCCUUAAUUUAAAGACCAAGUGUUCUUGUCUAGGUUGAAUAAACCCUUCUGGUUGUACCAUAUAGAUCACUUUGCUCCGGCAUUUGUCCCCUUUUUUUGUCCUGUCUUUUACUUAAUAUGAGUCACAUACUACAACAAAAACACUUUUGAAAAUCACUAUAAAAAGCACUCUUCAUCCUAGACAACACCAUAGGAAACAACAACAAAUUCUUUGGAAAAAAUAAAAAAUAAAACCCCUUGUAGGAUAAAUAUUCAAUCAGCGCAAGCACUACACAUACUCCCAGUAAUGACAUCAGAGUCAGCCACCCAUUUACCAUCCACUUUGAUCACCGGCACCUUCCCUUCUGGGCUCACCUCGAAAAACCUAACAACAAUCAUCAUCAUCAUCCUCGUCAACAAACCCAAAGCCCUUGAAAAUGUUCCUCGUCCAGAGUCAUCAGAAUCCCCUGGCUGAAUGGACCUUAAAACAAACCAAAACCCAUCAUCACGCACAAGUCAAUAGUAUAUAACAAACAAACCAGACAAAGAAAUUCUAGAGGGAGAUGACAGUCUCCAAGAAGAUCAGGAGCACCGGCAGCAGCCUUAACACAGAGUUCCCAGACCAUUGUUUGGGUACUGAGAAAAUGGGAGAAAAAUGAGAGUAGAGAGUGAGCGUGAGGUGAGAGCGGAGAAUGGUGAUUAACUAUGCAUGUUGUGCUGUCAUUGGUAUAUAAUGCCUUUGUGAAGGGUAAUUUUGGACUUUUGGGUCAAUGUUCAAAGACUUUUAAGCCCCUCUAAAAAAACCAUGAAAUAAUUUUCAUAAAUAUUUAUUAAAAUAUAAUAUUUUUUAACUAUUUCUAAAUUUCCAACACUUUUAAUUAUAAAGUUUCAACAAUUCAAUUAAAAUUAUUUCUUUAAAAGAGAAUUUAAAAAAGACGACUUCCAAUUAAUAUAAGAGAUUUGAAAAUAAUAUCAAAUACAUUAUAUUUCUUAAUAAAUAUUUUUAAAAAUGAUUGUCAAGAAAAUCACCGACCAAGUCAUUUUCCAUCUUCCUCAGAAGAGAUUUUAAAAGCUUGUCAAAACAUUUGAUUUCUGCUAAGAUUACUCUUAUUAUUUUUUUGGUGGGGCAACCAUUUGAUGCAAUUUUUUAAUUUCUGCCAUUGAAAAUCAGAACUAGAAGUAAAAAACUUAUGUGGGGCAUUGUUUGUCAUACGUCUAUGAAAAAAUAGAAACAGUUCUACAAGGAAAAACAAAUCAGGCUGUAGCGAUCUCUAUCUUCAAAUAUUACUUUCAAUAUUCAAAUGUUGAUUUUUGCUACCCCAAGCAUAAAGGGCUGUCCCACAUCGGAUUCUGGGUUCAACAUUACCACAUAGGGCUAAAAAAAUCUAGGCUAUGUUUGAAAGUUGCACCCACGUAUCAAUAUGUUCCAUUGGCACCAAGCCCAACCUAAAGUUGGGUUGGGAAUUCCCAGUGACAAAUAAAAUCCUCAUUUCAAAUUUAAAGAACAUAAAUCAUAUCAUGGGUUAAUUUUAUUGAAACAACUUUAGUUAUUAAUUACCACGGUCCAUAAAUAACUUCUAUAUAUGAAAGUGCUAACCAAAAAAAUUUGAAGGUGACCUAAUAUGUAAAUACACUAAACCUCAAGGGUGUAAAUAAAAUUAACACAUCCUAUUAUAAAUAUUGGGAAGAGUAGCAGCAGCAGCAGCAGCCCUAAAUACUAAAUAGCCUUCAUUACAUGGCAUAUAUGGAGAUGGAUGUAAUGGUAAGGGCAAAAGAGUAGAUACCGUCAUAGCUAAGACUGACUGGUAAAUACAUUUAUUAUAGACAAGCAAGCUGUGAAGGUGGUGGCUCCAAAAGUCUGAGAAGCAGAGCAGAUCUCACAUACCCUUCAUAGCUUUGGUACCAAAAGCUUAUAGUUUAGAACAAUUUCAUGCAUUGACCUUGGGUGCCCAUCCUGCAACUACAUGGUCCGGUGCUGGUUUGGUUUUCUCAAAGGACUCCCGAGAGAAAAGUAACUGCAGGUUAGGAUUACACAGCAUGAUUGUCAGUAGAAAAAUUAAAACAAAACUAAGGGUAAAAUCCGUUCUUUUAAUGCUAACUGUUUAAAGUUCAAACUAACUAGUAUGUAAAAUUUUAAUUAGACUGUUAGAAAGGACACGAUAAGAGAACUGUCUCUGAACCCGAAUCAAAAAAUGCAUAGAGAACUUCUAAGAUAUACAUGACGAUGCCGAAGAAUGUCUUUUUGAAAAGUCAAUUGCAGCCAUUUUUUUGCACUUCUAUAGUACCCAAAAUUUCCCUGAAAGAGGUUAAUCCUGUAGGAUCUGUUAGGUGGUAGGAAGGAGAUUCUGGACAAGUUGCUGCACAGGAAAACCAUCCUGGACGUCUGCAUACGAAACUUUUAAGACAAGCAUGACUUAACAAACAACAAUUUACUUGGAAAUGCCAAUUUUGACAGCAGUGAAGCUUCCACCAAGGACCAAGAAUAAUGUAGAUCCUCCAAACACUACAACUAACCACGAGCUUCACUCCACAAGUUUCAUCACCUGAUCACCACUUUACAUAGGACUUUUGAUAGGAAACAUGAGUCCCUUUACACUUUUUUGCCCUGUUACUGACAUGAAAGGUUCAAACAAUAUGACCUCAAACUACAACAGACCAUAAGAAACUAGGAAUCAUCGCAGGCUGUUUAUCAAACUGCUGAAUGGUUCAAUUUGAGAAAUCAAGAUUACCCAACAAGUUCAUUCCUAUGAAUCUCGAAAUCAUACUCUUAGAAGGAAGACCUCAACACUUUUGAUCACAAUAAAGAGCUCAUUAAACAAUUAAAAUGAACUCCAGAUCAAUGUAAGCAUGUCACUAGAAACUGGCUUUAGGCUGGUAGAAAUGUAACCCUAAUCAUUAAAACAACAUACCAUAAGGGAUUGACUACAAUAAAUUUUUGCUAAAAACUUCAUUAAUGACCAUGUGCAAAUACAAAUAGAGGAGGACGUAUUACCAGUCAAAGGAGUGUCAACAGGGCAUGCAUACCAAUUAUCAUUAAAUGAGGAUACAAAGGAUCAAAUGAAUAAGGAGUAAUGGUAUAUCCUACUCCUGAACUUGCAAUCCUAUCUCAAGCAAUGUGAUACCCACAUGGUUGUGAUCAGCAUCUGAGUGACCAAGGCUCCAGAACAGGAAUGAUAUUGCAACAGAUCCUGUCUAUGGAUGGGAUUAUACCAAACCAGUGACUGUACUACAUUCCCAAUUAUCUGUUUGUACAAACCAUAAAGAUACUAAAUAUAUCCUAAGCAUUUCAAGCUAUAGCUACCAGAUAUAACCUAGAUAGGGUUCUCACAUCCAAGUGAUCAAGCUAGCAAAGCAGUAAUUAUACUGCAUUAAUCCUGGUUUUCUUAGGCAUCACUAUUUUACAAACAUACCAAACAUCAACUAAAUAUUUUGGGCUACUGGGUAAAACUUAGCAUGGAAUAAAAGGAAAUGUUACCAGAGUAACAUAAGCUGCCAAGACGAAAUCACCACCUACUCAUCAAUACAUACAUGACUCACAUCUCAGAGGCAAAAACAGUAAAUUUUGCUCCAGUAAAGAAGUCUAAUAUCAAAAACUAACACAAAUUGUCCAGACUACAACAAUAUGGCAUACCUUCAUGUAAUUGUGGACAUGAGACAAGCUUUCAGGGAUAGUCCAGUUCUUGUAAUGGCCAAGAGCCACCUGAAGAUGGUACAGCUUUGGGGCCAAACUUAAAUCCACAGCACAGAUAUUUUCCCCAUUGAUGUAAGGACCCUGAAUCAAUCCUCAACAAUUUAGCAUAUGCAUGUCCAAAUGAAUGCACAAAAAAUAAAAAAGAAACCCAAAAAAAAAGAAAAAUCACUCUUUCAGUAUAAUGUGAUUGUAUUUCAAAUAAAUAUAGUAUAAACACAUACAUGAUCCUUAAGAUGGUCAUCCAAGGCCUUCAAUUCAUCCAGCAAAGCCUGCUCUGAACCGUCAUUAGGAUCCUUGCUCUUCAAGAACUUGACAAAAGCAGGAAAUAUUUUAGAUCCCCUGGAGCAUAUCAGAAGAAAAAAAAAACCCCUCAGUAAUUCCAAUUUGAUUUCAAGAAAACCAAGAUUAAAAAAAUUCCAAUCCUACUAUUUUCUAUUGUUUAGUCCACAAUAAAACCCAAAUAAUAAUAACAACAACAAUAAUAAUAGUAGAGACAGGAAAUAACAAUAAUUGCACAAGACUUAGUUCAGCUGAAUGAAUAGGUCAGUUUGGUAGCAUCAAUGACAAUAGCUACUACAUCAACAUUCUUAUUUUCCAAAAUUAAAAGGAUGAAAUGCUGGUCUUCAGAUUAUAAUAUUAAAUGCUUACAUUUUAGAAGCAGGAAAACAUAUAAUAUUUUUCUUGUUUUCUAAAAUGACCCAUUUUUAAAACCAAAAUUCAUGUUUCCAAACAUGUUUUCCUAGAACUUUCAUCUUUUUUAUCUUCUCCAAAAGAGACAAGAAACCUCGUCUCUACUUCGAAACAAGCCUAAAGUUAUUUCAUUUGUCUGCCACAACAACAGAAAAAAAAUGGCUUUAAUUCUCAUUCCGUUUUGUUUCUUCAUUUUCUCAGCAAAACUCCAAUUGCAGAUCAAGCAAGCUACCAAAAGAACACAACUCAAUAACACCGCUUAGUCCUCCCGGCCAACAUCCAUUGGAAGCAGCAACCAAUUCUAUGGGAAAAAAGAAAACCCUUAAAAGGAUGAACAUUCAACCAAGCACUACACAUACAAAAUUGUCAAAAUUUUUCUUGAUCCAUCACCAAAAAGCACAUAUAUUAAGAAAUGAAACAACUAGAUAAUUAUAUAAUGCAGCUUCUAUAGAAGAUAAUCGGAAAAAAGAAAACCCUAAUCAGAUGAACAUCCAAUCAAGCACUGUGGAUGUAUCACAACCAACCAAAAAAGGAUAGAACAGGAUAGAAAGUAAGGCAUAAGAUAUAAAGGUAUAAAAACUACAGAAUCAUACAACUGCAACUUUUACAAAAUUUUCAAACUAAGUCUUGCCAUUAACUGAGAGAGUGUAGGACGUUACACAGACGAAUGUUCAGGAGGAGGAGCGAGAGGAGGAGAUGGAUGUUUUUCCUCAAGAACCCCAGUAAUGACAUCAGAGUCAGGGACCCAUUUAUCGUCCACUUUGAUCACCGGCACCUUCCCUUCUGGGUUCAUCUCCAAAAACCUAACAAUAAUCAUCAUCGUCAUCAACCACCACCCAAUUUGGCUCACACCCUCUCAAAUCACAAAUCACAAAUCACAACAACCCAAAGCCCUCGAAAAUGGAUGGAAAUACACGUACCAUUGGGGCUUCUCGUUAACAUUGAUCAGAUGCAUCUUGUAGGGCACCUUCUUCUCCUCCAGAGUCAGCAGAACCCUUUGGCUGAAUGGACCUAAAAACAAACAAAAACCCAGUGUCACACACAAAUCAUAGUAACAACCCAGAGAAAGAAACUCUUGAGAGAGAGAUUACAGUCUCCAAGAAUUUCAGGAUCACCGGCAGCAGCCUUAACACAGACUUCAAAAGACAUUGUUUGGGUGCAGAGAAAAUGGGAGAAAAAUGAGAGCAGAGUAUGACGUGAGAAGAGAGGAUGGUGAUUAAUAAUAAGGGUAUAUACUGCCUUUUUUAUGAGUGGUAUUGACCCUUUUGGGACUUUGUUAGAAGACUUCGGGGCUCUCCGGAAAUUUCCAGUGCCUUCAGUUUCAACUUUCAACAUCAUCUUUUUAUUUCUCCACCAAAGGAAAUAUUAGAAAUAUAUUAAGAAUAGUAAGAUCAAAAACUUCACUUUAUGAAAAAUCUUUUGCGAUUAAAUAUUCCUAGUUUUUUUUUUUAUAUAUACUUUGAAACUUUUUAUUUCUCAAUUAUUAGAAAUAUUAAAAAUAUUUUCUAAAAUAAUUAUCAAAUACAUUUUAAAAGUCUAAUUUAAAGUGAUUUUUAAAAAAUUAAAAAUGUUUCUUAAUAUUUUGAAGUGUUAUCGGGUAAAAAUUAAGUAUUUGAUAAAUUUAGGAAACCAAUUCAAAUCAUUUUUAUACAAUUAUUUAAUAGAUGAUUUUUUUCCAAAAAAAAAAAGUUAUAUAAUUUAUUAAGAAAAUAUUAAUAAAAUAUUUUUAUAACUCGUUUUUUUAAAAAAGAAAAGAAAAAAAUCUAUAUAAUUUAUUAAGAAAAUAUUAAUAAAAUAUUUUUAUAACUCGUUUUUUCAAAAAAAAAAUUAAUGGAAGCUAAUAAAAGUUAUACAUAAUAAACUUUCAACCCCGAGCUUGUUUAAAAGUGAUUUUGAUUAAAUAACUUUUAAUUUAUAGUGUUUUUUAAAAGUGAUUUUGAAAGAAUUACCGAUUAAGUGAUUUUAAUUACUUCAAGUGUUUUUUUUUAAAUACUAAUCAUUUUUCAAAAAAUCAUUUUUUAUUAAAUAAUGUAUCAUUAAGAAAAUUACCAAAAAUAAAAUUUUAAAAUCUUUUUUGAUUUAUAAUUAAAACUAAAUUGAUUUUCUUUUUAUAAGAUUGCUAUAAAAAAAUAUUAAAAAAUAAAAUAGGGGAAGAAAUUUCUAAAGUAUAUAGCAUUUUUAAGUUAUGAGAUGCAAUAAUAAAUAAUGUUUAUAUAGGAACAAAUAAUUCGUUGACUUUAAACCCAGAGUAUGUCUACCUCACAAUCUUAAAAAAGUUUUUAUUAGUGGAGGAAUUUUAAAGAGAAAAAAAAAAUUCCCACAACAUUAUUAUUAUUAUUAUUAUUAUUAUUAUUAUUAUUAUUAUUUUUCUCUAUAAAGACAUGUGAUGUCCCAUAGUCAAUACAAGUAUUGGGAUCAUCCCAUUGUCUACUUUUGGAAGAGAAUUGUUUCUUUUGUAAGUAUAUUUCCUAGGUUUCACUUUAUAUCUUAGUCAACAAAAACCAAAAUUUGAAAAGGCAAGAGAUUUGUGAAGUGGAAAUUGAUGCAAAUCACAAUCAUGGUACCACCACCUCUCUAUGCCAACUAGCUGGGUUUUGCCAUUUUUCUAAUAUAUCCCAUGUAAAAUUUGAUUGAAUUUAAUACAUUUCAUUCAAAUUUGAUUGGGUUUUGUAGCUUUGAAUACUUUGUUGAAGGAAAGAACUAGAGAUUAAGGCAAUUUGGGUUAUUAGAAAUUUUUGACAGGCAAAUAAGAGAUUAUAUUAGGAAAGCCUAGCAUAGGUGAAAAGAAAGAAAAACUUUUCUCCUAUCUAGACAAAAGCCACUUUAUAAAAUCAAAUAAGAACAAAGAAUGAUCCUCUAAAUACACCCUACUCCAAUUCACAAAAGUGUACAAAAAAAAAAAAAUUUUAAAGCUUGGUCGGAUUGUUCAGUGUCAUUGAACACUCUUUCAUUUUUUUUCCUUCCAUAAGGUCCAUAUUAAACAAAGGGAUAGUCCUCCAAGCCUUUUCCUUUCUCUUACUCACAAAAGCACCAUGUCAAGCUAUCAAAUUCCUUUUGAUUGAGGAAUGUAGGACCCACUACACAUCAAAAAGAUAGAAAAGUAACCUUUAUAGCAUUGUAGUCUUCUUACAAAAAAUGAUCAAGUGGUCACUAAUUUCCUCUUCCAUUUUACAUAAAUAACACCUAUUUGGCAUAUUCCAACCCCUUCUUUUAAGCUGAUCAAUGGUCAAAAUUCUGUUCCAAGCUAACUCUCAUGGGAGCCCAGGAUCUCCAAAUAAUGCUCCAAGGAAUAAGUUCACUGGAGGCAUGUGUGAGGGAACGGUAGAGAGAUCUAACAAAAAAAUGAAUCAUUCUUACUAAUCUUCCAACUCAAAACAUCCUUCACAUCACUAUACAAAACCAAAGGAUGAAUUUUUCGGAACAAACCUCUACCUCUUCUAUUUCCCAAUCAUUAAAGUGUUUUGAGAACAAAUGAUUUCAACUUCCCACCUCUCCUCCCUCCCAAUCGUUAAUGGGUUAUUGGAAAUUAAAGGAAAAAAAUUUAAAUUUGUUAACCAAAUCACACAAACAUAACAACAAAAAAUAAAAAGGGAACUUGAGAUUAUUAACAUGAUUCAACAAUCAAUAUGAUCCCUAGAUUUUCUAUGUUCAAAAAAUGUAAUAAUAUUCAACAAUUCACUAAUCAAAAUAAAACAAGAAAAGUUAUAAUGGUAAAACCUUAGGAAAAAAAAAAACCUCAUCUCAAUUAUCGUUACACUCUCUAAAAAACCAUUUGAAAUAUAAAAAUGUUAAAUAUAUAAUAAGAACAAAUUCAUUAGCUCAUCAAGCUAAUUGAAUAACUCAAUCUCUAGUAUCUCGAGGGAAGUGUAAUAAAACUAAUUCAGAUUUUACAAUCCAAUAAAAUUUACCAAAUGUAAUUAAAAUUUUGAAAUUUAACAUAGACCUUUAACUCUUAUAUUUGCUUUCUAAUUUUAAAACCCAAAAAUAGAAAAUUUAAUCGAAUGAGAAGGUACAACAUUGAAUUUGUGUUGAAUGCGAGAACAAAAAUUAAAACCUUAUCCGAGUUAUAAAAAUACGAAUUAUUUAAAAAGAAUUAUAUAUCUUUAAAAUUUUUGUUAUUAUAUACACAGAUUAAUACACUAAAGCAUCAUAGAAAAUCGUACUUAAAUUUCCAAAGAUCGGGGUCCCCGCCCAUAAACGUGUCUAGGUCAAUGAUUAAGGCCUUUAGCCAUGUGGCCCUAUUGCUGGUGAGUUGGGACCCGCUUCGUUGAAUGUUUGGGCCUGGGCCAUAUCAUUUGCCUUGUCGUGCGAAAGCCACGUGAGUCCGUGACCAUGUUUUGGCGUGUGGGUCAAAUACUAUUGAUCGCGUCAUUUUUGGACUCUGGAAAUUUGAAAACCUAGAACCACUAUUUCCACCCAUAACUUUUGCUACUUCUAGUGUCCUCUAGUCGAAACCUUGGAAGGAAGAUCAUUUAUUUUCACGGAAAUUUUAAGGAACAAAAUACCUAUUUUUAUUCUUGUAUUAUCUAGCUAAGGAAAUUAUCUUUUAUAUUUUAAAUUUUAAAUAGAAUUUUAUUGCUAAAAAUAAUUGGGAGAAUUAUGUUUUGGGGGUAUAUGGGCCCCCAAAUUAACAAAAGGUCCAUGUAACUCUUCAAAUUGAGCCCAAGACCCAAUGAAAGUAUGGAAAUUGAGUUGAAAGAUAUCAUCCUUCAGUAUUUCCAAAAAUGCCCUUUGUUGAUUUUGAGAAAAAAAAUUAAUAUUUUUGAAAAAUACUUUUAUUUAAUUUAAUAUUUUUGAUUUAAUUUAAUAUUUUUAAAAAAUGUUUUUAUGUAAUUUAAUAUUUUUUAAAAUACUUUAAUUUAAUUUAAUAUUUUUUUAAAAUAAAUUGAUUUAAUUUAAUAUUUUUUAAAUACUUUAAUUUAAUUUAAUAUUUUUGAAAAAAAAUUAUUUAAUUUAAUAUUUUUGAAAACUAUUUUUAUUUAAUUUAGUGUUUUUGAAAAAAAAAAUUAUUGAAAAAAAAAUAUUUAACUUAAUUUUAUAAAAUAUUUUAUAUGUGUUCUUAAAGGGUAUAUUUGUCAGUUACUAUUUCAUAUCCUUCAACUCAAUUUGAAGAGUUUUAUGGAUCUUUUGUUAAUUUGGGAGCCCAUCUACCCCCAAAAGAUAAUUCUCUCAAAAUAAUUUUUAAAAACUAUUUUCUUGCCGAUGAUUUGUUCAAUUUUUUAAUUAUUAUUGUAGUUGAAUGUUAUGAUUAUAGACCUAAUAAAUAAUAAUAAAGACUAAUUUACCCUUAUUUCUAAAAAGAAAUAAAGUAAUUUUAAUAUAGUAACUAAAUAAUAAGGGAUAUAGUAACUAAAUAAAUAAAUAUAUAGUAACCAAACAUAUUAAUAACUUCUAACAUCCCCCACAAACUCAAUAUGAUUGUAAGCAGUAUCGAAAGUUUGUCAACCAAAAAUUGAAAAUAUGGAAGCGAGUAUGAUUUGGUAAACAACUUCACAAUCAUAUUGUUGAUAAAAUCUCUUAGUAACCAAACCAACUUUGUAUUGCUUAAUCAAAGUGUCAAACAUCAAAUAUUAGUUUUAUACAAAGCAGAGAGUUCCUUAGUCAUAGCUUGGGAGACGUCGAGAAGAACAUGCAAGAGGAUAAUCAACAAUCUUAGAAGGUGUUUGUGUAGCUAUAUGAGGAAAGGAAGGAGCGUGACAGUAAAAAACUAAAGUACUAAUAUUUGCAUGAAAACAUUCUGUAUUAUCCAAUGAAUGAUCAAUAAGAAGAAGUUCAAACUUAAAGACAUCAUGAGACUCGGUAGGAAUAGAAAAUAUAUAUGUUCAAGGAAGAAAAUAUGACUAAAAAAGAAAGGCGUAUGCUCAAAGAGAAGAAGUAGUAGAAGACACAAAUCUAAAACCAUUAAGGAAAGAAAGAUAGAAGAUAUAAAAUUGUCAAAAACAAGAGAUUAAGGAAAAUAGACAAAAGAAGAUACAAAACCAUAGAAGAAUGAGAGAAACAAAAUUUGAAUUUAUAUCCAACAAUAUAAAAAGAAAGAAAAAUAGAAUUUGGUUUCAUAUCUAACAAUAUAAAAUAAUGAGAGACAAACAAAAUUUGGAUUCAUAUCCAACAAUAAAAAAGAAAAAAAGAAACAAAAUUUUGAUUCAUAUAAAAAGAUAGAGACAAACAUAAUUUGAAUUCAUAUCCAAUAACAUAGAAGAAUGAGAGACAAGUAGAAUUUGAAUUCAUAUCCAACAAACAAACAAAGAGAAUGCAAAAUUACAGUCAUUCUAAAUAUUCCUAGAUUUCCUUGGCAGUUUCAUACUUCGUCAAUCAUAUGUUUAUCAAAUUAUCAAUGGAGUUUUGAUCCAAGUGAUAAUUUUGGAAUUGAUUACUUCCUAAGCAUUUAACUAUUUUGCAUAUUUUUCAUCAUUUUCAUUCAUAAGUUUGCAUAGAAUGCCAAUAAUAUAAUCUCAUAUCUUUGUCAUUUAAAAACUUUUUCAUUACAUAACUUUAAUAUGAAUAAUUUUUUCCAUCCAAUUUCACACUAAUAGAUUGAAGGCAAUCAUAGAAUAAAUACAAAAUCAAAUACCAAGAUCAAACAAAAAAAGAAUUAUGCAUCCCAUGAUCAAACAUGACAAAAAAGAAAAAAAAAAAAAGAAGAAAAGAAUUCCACCAGAACAAAAAUACGAAAACAAUAUAUAAGAUUAAAUUUUUUUUUCAUGAGAUCAAAUGUCUUAUAAAAGAUCAAUUUUGCUAUGAUGCCAUAUUAAAAUCCAAAAGAGAUUCAACGAGAAAGAAAAAAAAGAAAAUCUAAGAUUUCUUAUUAUGAAUUAUCUUUUAAAAUAGGUUUAACAUUAUUAAAAUUUAAAUAGACCUAAUAAAAAAACUAAUUUACCUAUAUGAUAACUAAAUAUAUAUUAAUUAAAUAUAUUAAUAAUUUAUAACAGAAAAUGAGAUUAUCAUAAAUGUUCUUUUAAACAAGUUGUUGUCUACAUAAUACUUACAUAGACAUGUCACUCCUUUUUCACUACUCAAAUUAAUUUUUAAAUAGCUAUAUUUAUUAAUAAAAUAACUAUAUAGUUUUUUCUUUAAAGCAUUUAUUCCCAUUAAGUAUAAAAACAUUUUCUUGAUAUGGUAUUGAUUAUUUUAUAGAGUAUAAUCACAUGAUUUGAUAUGAUCAUAAAUUAUUUUAUUCCAAAAAAAAGAAAUUUCCUAAACAAAAUCGGAGAAGAUAACGCCUAGAUGCCAUUGGGAAAUGGAAGAUGAUUGGGGUGGAGAAAGAAGAAAAGGAAAGAGUGUAAAUAACAAUUCCACUUCAAAGUUCACUGUAGGUGUCAACCAGACACUAGGUCAUCGUCUCCUCGUAUCCACAUAUCCAUUGUCCAAUCAUGUGUUUCUGACGUCAUUAAUGUCGGAUGGCGCGUUUUCUCAGCCUCCAAACAACAACCGACCUACCCCUAUGUAUAUUUGUCUAUGUAUGCAUGCAAGUCAACAGUUUCUUCAUUUCUGAUGACUCUGAUCUGAAUAACCUGCAGUACCCAUGUCAGAAUCGGGUGAUAGAGUGAGCCCACCUUGAAGGUACCUUGACAGAUUUUCUUGAAUCCUUGGAAACAGCUUUCCAUCAUGUGGGUUUUGUUUUUUCCUUGGUCAGGGGUUGUUGCUUUUAUUAAUUGUUGUCAUCGUUAUGAUUCAGAAUGAAGAAGCUUCGUCCAAGAAUACCCUGUUCUGUUGAGGUGAGAGAUUUGAAUACUGAUGAUAUUCGUUUCCAUAAUUGUGUUGAUUUUUUUUGGGGGGGUUUGCGUAUUGGUGAUGGGGUUUUUUGUUGUAGUGGAAUUGGAAUGAUGGUGUCUUUAUUUCAAUGAAAUCAGAUGUUUUUUAUUAUAAUUAUUGGAGAUGAUUGCAGUGUGUUGAUAUUCACUGUUUGAAUUGUCCUUUUUGAUGAUUGUCCGCACCGCCUUUUUCUUUAAAUAUUCCAUACGCUUUAGCUCUUUUAGCUGUUCCAUGAUUCUGAUUACUUGGAUUUUGUUUUUACUUCACAUUUUUAGGUCUUCUGAAACCUGGUUUAGGUAUUUGUAUUAUCUGUCAUAUGGGUUUCUUUUUGUGCUCUUGUAUGUAGCUUGAAGAUGAAAGAAAUGGUCCAGGAAAUGAUUCAAGACAUGAUAUUUCUAUUUGAAAAGGAAAAAGAAAUCGAAAUUAGGUUUUUAUAGACACUUCAUUGAUUGCCUUCUACUUUGAAAUUCAGCCUUCAGUGCUGUUUAUAACUUUAUUUAUUUAUUUUCUUCUUCAUUGAAUGUUUCUGAAAAUAUUAAAAAUAUUUUCCAGGCAGCAGGGAUUCUUGGGGGCGAAGUCACUUUCCCAAAUCCACAUUGAUUUUGGUUCUUGAAGUACGGCUGAUGCAGAGGAAGAUAAGGUAAGUGGGUUCUUCCCCAUUUGUUUUUAUGAGAAACUUGAUUUAUGUUUAUGCCCAUUCUGUAUUUGAUCCUUUGUUUGACUCGACGCUUAUGUAUUUGUGCAUUUUCUGGACAGUUCUUGAUUUAGGUAGCGCUUGUGUUAAGGUAGCUGAAAAUUUGUUGGAAGAGAUGGAAUCUAAGCAAAUCACGUCUAGUGUUAUUGCAAGAUUGAUGGGUCUCGAUGAAUUGCCACCUCGGCAGCCCAUCCAUAAACAGCAAAGAGUGCUAUCUGAGAACUAUCUGAGGAAAACUGCAUCUAUAGGUGUCAGGGAGAAGCGUUCUUCUUAUGAAGGCUGUUCAUUCAGGAUGACCGCUGAAAAGCAUCAAGAAUUUAAGGAUAUUUUUGAAGUGCCAUCAAUACCAAGGAUGGAUAAGCAUCAUCAUCCAUCGCCUCCAAAGGGGAAAGGAUGCUCAAAUUUGACUGGAGGGAAUGUGGCAUUGCAGUUCACGGAGCCAAAAUGUCUAUUGAUGAACGAGACGCUUCAGCGCUCUAAGGAAUUUGAUGAUACACCGGUAGUGCUAGAUUCUAGCAAUGAUCUUUUACUGGGAAAUCUUCAGGAACAAGGUUCCUUUUUCAUUAAGCAUCUUCAUAAUGUGCAAGGUGUUUCUCCCUAUCUCCAGUCUGGUAAUGUUAGAGGCUUAAAGGCAUCAAAUGCUUCUAGCCAUAGAAAAAAUGAAAUAUAUGGGAGAUUGGAGAGGAGAACUGAACAAAGAGAUGCUUUAAAAUCAUUUCAGAAACCUGGGAAUGAUCUUGUUCCACGCUCCCACGAGGAACUUGGUGCUAAUUAUUCUCAUAAUUUGUCAAAGUCUCGAUUGCAGUCAGAGGAUGACAGAUGCAUCUCCCAUACAAGGAUUGUUGUUCUGAGACCAAAUCUUGGGAAGACACCAGAUACAAGAUCUCUUGUUUCAACUACUAGUCAUAAAGGUUCUCAGUCAAGUUAUAGGAGGCAUAAAAAUAUACCUCAUUCUAAAAACGAGGAAAUGCAUGUUGAAGCAAGAGAAAGGAAAGCAUUGGGGAGUGGCAUGGAACCUUUUGGGCAUGGAUCUAGAGUUUCUGGGGAAACUGCAAAUGUAAUUGGCAAGACAAUGAAGCAUAUUGCAAGCAGCAGUUUUACCAAUGUAUCGAGAUCAGGAUUCGGAGGUGAUGACACCUCUUUGAAUGAAUUUGAAGUUAUGAAGCCCUCUUCCCCAGAUUUUAUUAAUUGGAAGAACCGACACCAAAAAUCAUUUUCUUACUGGAAUGGGUUUUCUGUGGCCGGAGAAACCAAGAAGCAACUCUCAGAAAGAUGGAAGAUGACCAAAAGUUGCCAAGAAAUUGGGCUGGUUGGUAGAGGCAGUACCCUGGGUGAAAUGCUUGCCAUGCCUGAUCAUGAAACAAGGCCAAGAAAUUUGGAUUGCAAGCAUGGUAAGAAUAGCCAAAGCAAUCAAUUUGGUGCAAAUGAUGGAGAUGUGAACUUGUGUACUCCUUUGGGCAUUAGCAGUAAGGAUGGUUGGAAGGAUGGAUGUGUCAAAAGUUCUCCAAAAUCCGGAUCUCUUCCUGCUUCUGCUUCCAUUGGCAGUCAUAAACCCAUGACUGGAAAUGAAGUUCUUCAUUGUGAUUGGUAUAUGACACCAGAAGAGGCUGUUGAUGGGGAACCACAAAAAUCAGGGAAGCAGAAUUCUGACUUAAAUGACCGUUCAGGACCCAGAAACUCAAGAUUAAGCUCUCAGAAAUCUGUGUCCAUUCCUUUCUUGGAUUCAGAAAAUAAUCAUACUGCACAAGAAGCUUGUGUGAUCUUGAGUGAGCUGAAGCACAAAAUUGAGGAGAGUAAUCUGUCUGAACAAAGUUAUGGGGUUCCUAAGUUUAUGAGUAGCAGUUGCUCUUGCUCUGAUUCAGAAAGUAAUCACACAGUACAAAAAACUCAGGUGCUUCAGCCUGAGUUGAAUGAUUCAUUUGGACAGAAUUUGCAGGUUCCUGAGUCAUCAAUUGUUAAUGUUGCCUCCAUAAGUGCAGUUGCUGACAUUGUGGCUUAUUCUGAAACAGAGGAUAUUGGUUUGUCGUUUGGAAUCACCAAUGAGCAGCAGUCUAAACCAAUGGCCAGCAUCUUGUUGGUGAAAGAUGGAGAUUCUGCUAGCUGUAACUCAGUUGCUUCAAUUCUGGAGGUUUUGACAAUUCAUUCUUUAAAAUAAUACUUGAAUAUUUAGAGAGGAUAUUUUGCAAGCAUAGUCAUAUAAAUAAUAAACCCUAAAACUGCUUCAAAAGUCAUUCUUUAGUAACUAGCAUUAGUUGUUUUAAUUGGCAAUUAGUGCUCUUCCUGCUUUUGCUCUGUCCCUCCGACCAACCUAACCACCUGAUGAUAAUUUCAUCUCAUUUGAAACUUGUGCACUGCUUGAUUGGAGCUCUUCUGGCCAGGUUCAAGCACGGUUCAUUACAAAUCCUUUAGGCUUUUAGCUGGGAAUGUGGUCUGCUUGAUCCUUAUUAGAUUAGUUAACUAAGGUUAUGCUUUAUGAAAUUAUCUUUCCACUACAUUUUUUUCAAAAUUCCUUGAUCCCUAAAGAGGUAAAACACCUUAAACAUUAUAAUUUCUUAUUUUUAAGUUAUAUUUAUCAUCGAUUAUAAAGCAAGCUGUUGUUAUUGGUUAAUCCAUGUUCUGAGUUUAAGCAAGCCUGGCCUAGCGUUGCUUGGGGAUUCAUUGUUUUAGUACCUAUGAGCUCAAAUGAGCAAUCCUCAUACUGUUCGCCAAUUGAUUUGCUUUAGUUUAUGUCAUCUUCAGCUGUCUGUCAGAUAGUGUUGGCUACAAACCAAUGUUUUAGUGUGCAGCUUUUAGCAGAAAUUUCACCAGAGUUAAUGUAGAGCACCUAGCUUUAUGGAGGGCAGUUGAAUUAUCAUUAGAACCUCAGCAGUUGGUUUUAUCGCCUCUAUAUUAUCUUUUCAUGACUAAUAAGCCCACAGAUAACCUUUUCAGAAGCUUACAAUUCUGUCUUUGAACAAUUGAAGCACUCAUUUUUCUAUGAUCUUUUCUGUCAAAUUUUGAAGAUUUUCAUCCUUCAUAUUUUUGGUAUCCAGUAUCAUGUUGUAAAACUUCCCUGACUCAUAAAGUCAUAAUAUUACAGGAAGGAUCAAUUGGAUCCCCUGGUGGAAGUUCAGUUUCCUCACACUGCACUGGAACAAACCCAGAAUCUUCUGUGAGCUUGGAGGAGGCUUAUCAGCCAAGUCCAGUUUCUGUUUUGGAACUACCAUUCAAAGGAGAGAUUUCAUCUGGCUCUGAAGGCUUUGAGAGUGUCAGUGCUGACAACUGUGGUUAGUGAACUAGAAAGCACCUUCAUUCUCAUAUAACUUUACCAAAUUUGAUUGAUGCAACUCAUUUCAUCUAUGCUUUAUUUGAUAGGUUUACAGAUGCAGCUUCAGCUUCUCAAAUCAGAGUCCCCAGAGGCAUACUCAGAAGGGCCUGGAAUGGUCAUCUCAAGUGAUGAGGACACUGAGGAAGAAUCUAUUGGUCUUUAUGAUGAAAAAAGAGAACCAAGGGGAUUAUCCAAAGCCAGAGAGAGUAGGGAUUUCUCCUACCUAGUUGAUGUUUUAGUCGAGGCAGGUUUUUGUGGAAGCGACUUGGAAAUGGACCUUGAAACAUGGCAUUCUCCAGAAUGUCCAAUGAGCCGUUUGGUGUUCGAGAAGUUAGAGAAGAAGUAUGGUGAGCAGACAUCUUGGAAGAGGUCAGAAAGGAUGCUCCUAUUUGACCGUAUAAAUUCAGGGUUGAUGGAAAUUCUCUGGCCAUGCACAGAGAUUCACAUGUGGAUGGGAUCUGUGACAAAAAGAUUGAGCUUCAAGCUGAGCCAGGAAAUGAUUGAGGAGGAGCUAUGGAAAAUCCUUGCCAGUCAAGAGAAGGAAAUGAACAAGAAUUUAUCUGGGAAGGCAUUGGGAAGGGAAACACGGUGGUUAGAGUUAGGAGACAAUAUUACUAUAAUUGGUAGAGAAAUAGAGAGCUUGUUGCUUGACGAGCUAGCGGCCGAGUUCGUGAGUAUGGAGAAUUUUUGAACCAUAUAUUUUCUAUUCUUUGAUAGGAAAACAAGAAGUGAUUCUUUUUGGAGAAUAUAUUUAUGUACAUAUAUAGCAGAAUAUUUUAUCGAGUGAAGUUUGAGGCAGUUUUGAAGUUUUGAUGUUUGAAGAGGAUAUAUAAAAUUCAGUGUGGUUAUACCAGGAUGGCUUGGAAUCAAUAGACAUCCAUACGAAAAUAUACAGAUUCAGUGGUUUUUUUUGUGCUGAGUGUGGGAAGAUGCUCUUUAGUUCUAGUUGUAUACUGUAUAGACAAUACAUUUAUACCUAUGAUUGAUUCAAUAGUAUGUGCUUGUUGUUUGAUCAUACUUAUAUUUCUCUAUUGCAAUAUUAAUGAUUCUUUUAAAAAGAAGAAAGAAAAUUAGUAAGUACAGCCAUGUUCGUGUCCUGAUAUGCCAUUGCAUUUACUCUUAGAUUAGUUCCAGGUUAAUGCCAGAUGAAAGGAAUCUAGGUAUGCCUGCUGGGCAAUGGGAUAACCAGGAUUGUUGACACCACCAGGUACAGACAAGAGCAUAAUUUAGAAGAGAUUUAUUAGCAGUUUCAACUACAUAGAUGAUGGAUGGAGGAAAUGGGAAGGUAUGGGAAGCAUUAUAUUUUUUUUUUGAUAGAUAAAGGAAAUUCAUUAAAAGCCAAAAGGCUAAAGAGAGUAUACACGAAGUAUACCAAGAUACAAAGGAUCAAGAAACAAAAGGUUCUGACCCUUACUUGGUGGCUAACCAAUUUACAAAAUCAAACAACGAUAAAGUAUGAUCCUUAAUAUAUACCCUAGCCCAAUUCACAAAAGUGUACAAAAAAAUGGAUUUGAUAUCUUGAUCAUUUCUUUCCACAUCAUCGAAGGCUCUUCUAUUCCUUUCUUUCCAAAUAGUCCACAUUAGGCAAAGGGGGGCAGUUUUCCAUGCUUUCUCCCUGUAUGGGAAGCAUUAUAUGCUGAGCUAGUUUUGAAGACGAGUGGGAAAUGUCGUGAAAGCUAUGUUAAAAUGACUUAGAAGUGAAAGAAUAUGACCUUUUUCUCUUCAUUGUUGAUGAAACAUCAAUACUGGAACUUGUUGCAGGACUUUUAGGUGUAAGUUGAACAUGUGGUAUACGCUCUGUGAAGACACCUAAGCCCUUGUCCCUAACCCAACUGUUCCUCUUCAUCCACUUUCGACAAUUGAAUACAGGUUUAGGUGUUCCAACCAAAACACUAACGAAAUACAAGAACCUACUCCAUCUCAUCAGACUCCUGUCCAAAGUUUAAGGUAUAUAUAUAUAUUCUCCCUUACAGACCCUCCAAUCCAUCAUCAGUAGCAAAGAAAUCUUCUUAACUCUCCUCAUCUUCUUGUCCUCUCAAAUGGCAGUUCAAAAACUCGUUUCGUUUUCAGCCAAGGCUGUAGCCUACCUACUGCUCCUCACUGUCACCAUUGCUUUCUCUACCUCGGCGCGAGUUCUUGAGGAGCAACCAGAGUUGCCCAUUUCCCUCUCAGGGGCAUCCAAUUCAGUUCAGCAGCCUGUUGCUGGUGUAGCUCCAAUCGCUACACCUGCAGUGGCACAACCAAACCCUGGUGUGGCUGCAGCUGCUACACCUGCAGUGGCACAGCCAAACCCUGGGGCAGCGGCACAGCCAAACCCUGGGGCAGCGGCACAGCCAAACCCUGGUGCAGCAGUACAGCCAAACCCUGGUGUGGCGGCACAGCCAAACCCUGGUGCAGUGGCAGCUACUAGUGGUGGCAUGGCUCACGAUGACCAUCCCUUGUCCUUCUUUAUGCACGACAUAUUAGGUGGGUCGAACCCCUCAGCUCGAGCUGUGACUGGGAUUGUUACCAACCCAGCAGUCAAUGGUCAGGUCCCUUUUGCCAAGCCAAAUGGGGCACUCCUCCCAGUAAACAAUGGGGUACCCCUCAAUAGCGGUAACAGUGGACUUAUAAACAACAACAACAUUCCAUUCCUCACUGGCCUUAGUGGAAUUACACCUACUGUGAUUCCAAACAACGGCAACAACUUGUUCAAUGGUGGCAAUGGACUACCAGUUGGAAAUGGGGGUCAGUACCUUGCAGGUUCCAGCCUUCAGAAGCUCAUGUUUGGGACCAUGACAGUGAUAGACGACGAGAUAACUGAAGGGCAUGAGCUCGGGUCUGGUUCAGUGGGGAAGGCACAAGGAUUCUAUGUUGCAAGUUCUGAGGAUGGUACUAGUCAGACAAUGGCAUUUACAGCCAUGUUCCAGAGUGGAAGCUAUGCUGAUAGCCUUAGCUUCUUUGGGGUUCAUAGAACUGCUGUCUCAGAGUCUCAACUGGCCAUUAUGGGCGGAACUGGGAAGUAUGUUAAUGCAAAGGGGUUUGCAACAGUCAAGACCAUCCCCCCAACGCAUCAGCAAGCCACAACUGAUGGUGUAGAGACACUGCUCGAGUUCACUGUUUAUGUUACCUACUAAUAUGUUGUAUAUGGAUCUUCAAGUUUGUUGAAAUCUCUGUACCAGAGAUGGAGUUUACCAACUAAUCUCUUUACAGGGCAAGGUUUGGUUUGUUUAUGAAUCCAGAAAAAUGGAAUGGUUUCCAAUUUGUUUCCAUAAAUUUGCUGGCCCAAUUAAUUUCCUGAAUGAAACUUAGGAGAUGGACUAAUAUCCAUUAAUCACUUAAGUAAGAAAUUAAAUUUCAUAAAAUGCUAAAGAAGUAAUCCACCUAAAUCACAUUUGAAUUGCAAGAAAAAUGAAGCUGAGGAAGUGCAUAUGAACUAUGGACUGUCUGCUCUUUUAACUUAAGAUCUCACUUUCCUCACUCAGCUUUAUCAGUCUUCAUGGGUGCAAAGCAAAAAUAAUACAUAUUCUGUUCUGCCUGUAUUAUGACUUAUUAACAUCUGAAAGAAAUAUUAGUGAAGCUGUUCCUCAAUCCUGAUUUCCAUAUGCUGUAUCUCAUGUUCUAAUGUUCAACUUCUAAGUUCUAGCUUGUCUCAUUGAAUGCCCCAAUAUACCUCUCUUGAUAUCCAUGUGUAGGCUUUCUCAUUUGCAAAUUUGCAUUCUUUUGGUUUCUGAAAAAUUGGAUUGGCUGGAUUCUUGGGAAGAUUUUAAAAAGUAUGCUGAUAACCACUGGCUUUAUACCUAUUAGGGUUCUAACAGCCUCUCCGUCACAAUAGAUCAAGGAUCCAAGGGAUCAGGUCUGCUACUCCCAUCAAAGGUGCAGCAGAUGUUUUGUCCACCAGUUAGAAUUGACAGAGAUUGAAAUUUAGAAGAGAUUAAUACCUGUGAUUUUUAACGAAGAAUACAAAGAAACAAGAAUAUGUAAAACUUGAACAGACAAUAUUUGAAGGCUUAAGCAAUGUACUUAAAGAUAAUAGAAGAUGCCCAACCCUCUGUUUCACCAUGUGCCUUUCAAUUUUCCCUUCCUGAGGUUAUCAUUUUUAUUUUAAUAAAACCCCCAAAGCAGAUAUUCCUGGCUUCUAUUUGAUGCAUCUUCAAAACUCAUUUUCCCAGUUACAAUUUUCCUCCAAUGUUAUCCUCACCAUUAUUUUGGUUCCAAGAGAUAGCAUUACCCAGAACUUUCAAUAAGAGCUAAAGGGAUCCCAGUGUUUUUAAUGAUGGAAGAGCAUGUCAGUGUGUAUAUAAGAGAAAAAGCAAAAAGGUGUCAAUCUGACGUUUGAACCUUUUGCCUUUUAUGCAUCUUCCUACUUCUUUAACCUCUUGGACUCUUGGAGAGGGAAGUAGUAGUCUUGCCUCAUUCUAGCAUCCGUUAAGAGUCUCAUUUAUACUUCGAGAUGUUUUGUAACUGCGGUUCCCUUCUGUACCGAAGUUGAUAUUCGAGGAGGACGGAUCAACUAAUUGUGAUUCCCUUCUACACUAAUGUUGAUAUUCGAGGAGGGCAGAUCUACUUUAAGGUAAGUACAUUGUCACGUCUCAGCCAAAUAAUCCGAUAAGUUCCCUACUCUAGUUUUGUUUUGUUUCCUGUUUGUUUGGUCUUGGGCUUAGUUAAUUUGUUUAAGGUUAAAUUCUUGGACUUUUUGAACCAAUUUUUAAUGCCAUUAAAGGAUAAUACUCUCAUUGAAUCAUAGAUUUCUUUAGCAGGCGCAUUUAAACAUUGAUUGCUGAAGGUACAUCAAGUAAAAUAAUACUGGAACUCUUACACACACUAGUCAGAUAGUGUAUAUAUCAAGUUUGGUUGAGAAGAUAGCGCACUAGUGAGAAAGGUAAACAUUGACCUGGAUGACUGUUUCCACUCCAUCGGUCGUAUGUUGAUCUUCCUGAUGAAGGCUCUCAAUGGUGGCAUACCCUUUUGCAUUCUCAUACUCACCAGUUCCACCAACGACUGCAAUAUGAGACACAGGUGAGGCAGUGCGAUGGACCCCAAAAAAGCUAAUGGUAUCCUCUUCUUGGUGAUGAUCGCUGCCAUGGAGCAACACGGUCAAGACCAUUGUGUGGCUGCCACCAUCUAGAGAGCUAGCUAGGUAGAACCCCUGUGCUCUCCCAACCACAGCAGACCCAAGCUCAUGGCCUUCAGUUAGCUCAUCGUCUAUCACUGUAAUCGUUCCGAACAUAACCUUCUGAAGGGUGGCUCCCGCCGGGAGCUGCCCAGCAGUGACAAAGGGUUGGUUGCUGCCACCAUUGACUGGGUUGUUGUUGCCAUUGUUUUGAAUUAUUGUGCUGGUUUGUCCACCGUUGAGGCCUGUGAGGAAUGGUAUGUUGUUGUUGUUAAUGAGGCCAUUGUUGCCAUUAAGCAGUGGAACUCCGCCAUUGAUUGGGAAGACGCCACCAUUGGCCUUGGAGAAAGGGAGACCAUUGAUUUGGGUGUUGGCUGUGAUCCCACUGACCACCCUAGCUGAAGGGUGUGAUCCACCAAGGAUAUCAUGCAUAAAGAAGGACAAUGGAGGGUUUGGUGGGGCAGCAUUUCCCGUAGUGGCGCUAGUGGCAGCAACCGGGGCCGGUCCACUUGGCAAUGCAGCAACUGGACCCGCCACAGGCGCCACAUCAACCGGUACAGCAUCAGGUGCGCCUGCUUCAGGCAGUGGUGGUUCAUCAUCAGCCUCUGUGGGGCUGCUGGCAGUAGCCGGGAUUUGGCCACUUGGUAAGGUGUUUGUGGGAGCCAGUACCGGUGCCACACUGGGCACAAUUGCCGGAGAGUCAUCUGCUUCAGGUGGAUCAGGGAUGACUGGUGGUUGUGGAUCUACCUCAUCUAGGAUCCGGGCCGAGCUGACAUGUCCAAGAGUGAUGGCUAGCAGCAAGAGGUGGAUGAUAGUCUUGGAGAGUAAGAACGGUGUGGCAGCCAUUUUUUGUGAAGAGAUCAGAUUUGGGAGGGUCCUAUUGUUGGGGAAGAGAGCAGACACUCUGUGUGUUUAUAUAGUUUCAGGUGUCUCUAAUGGGAAGUGGGGCUAGUGAGUUGGAGUUGUUUUACUUGCCCUUUCUUGUAUGAUGUGUUGGGAAGCGGGGCUAGUGAGUUGGAGGCUUUACAUGCCCUUUCUUGUAUGAUGUGUUUGGUUGAGAAAACCAACUCCUAUAUGAAUGUAUGAACAUGAUAAGCUCUUGACCACAACCCGAAAAUUUGGCAUUAUCUCAAUGGACUCUUGGUAUUUUGUCUAGAGUCAAUCACAAUGGCCCCUUUGUUGGAUAUGUUUUUGUUUUCAGAACAUAGAAAACAGACAUCAGAUAUUGGAAAACAGAGUUUCUCUGCCACCCUUUUUUCCUUAUGAAAAAAAAAAAACCACUUCAAAGCAUUAAGACAUUUUCUCUACCUAAUGAAAAUGGUGGCCCCUUUGUCACUGAGUGGAAGUGGCACAUGGCCCCUCAAACCUCAACUGUGAUUUUAUCUUCAAAUAUAUAUUAUAGAAACAGUAAUGUAUCUGAGCUCUAAUUAAUCCCCAACAAAAGAUUUAUUCAAAGUAGACAGUACAUUUUGGUUUUCAUUCCAUUUCUGAUCUGUUUUCUAUGAACCUGAAACAAAUUUCUUUGUUGCCUUCUCCAUAAACUUGACAUCUAGGAGAAGUCACCUUUAGAAUUGAAGUGAUUCUAAUCUGUUAUUUUGUGUCAUUAUUUUGAAGUGAUUCACCAUUUUCCAUAAGCCUCUUUGGGAAUUAUCAUAUUGGCUCAGCAGAUUCAGAUGGGGAAAUGCAGAGGCCAAUUCGACAGCCUCGAAUAACAUGGCCUGUCAAAAUUCUCCUUCAAAUGUAGCAAUAUCAUUAGAUAAAACUAUGCUCAAAGACAGUCAAAGGCCCAUAGCUUAAAACCAAUUCAUAAGAGGUAAUGCUAAUCUGUAAAAAAUCAACAAUAUUAGUUUUGUUGACAGCAGGGCAUUUACUCCAUCCUCACAUCAGUUAUGUUUCAGUUUAUUCAUCAGCUAGUUAAGAAUAUGAUUGGUGUAUUAGCCUUCAUUUUUGGUGAAUACAAUAACCAUAUCAAUUCAGUAUAGAUUCUAGUAAAACGCUUCAUUUCACAGAAGGGCAAUCAUGUAUCAACUGGGACAGAAUCCAGAAUUGAUCUCUUAUGAACUUGAUUCAAAUACUACUAAGUCAUUAUCAGCCUUAAUCUUAUCAAAAUCUUUACAUUGAACUCACAAAAAGAGAGAAAAAAAAGGGGGGCUCAUAUUCCUGAUACAUUGUUAUGAUUCUACACAAGAACAAGGCCCUCUCAACUGAGAUAAACAUUGAAUAAAAGGGGUUUGCUUGCUCCUUCACUUCCUUCUGCAGAAGCAUUGAGGCCUGCAGUUACAGCCUUAACCGUGGUAUAGCCAUUGGCACCAUCAUACUUGCCAGUACCUCCAAUGAUGGCAAUAUGAGACUCCGGAACAUCAGUCCUCAACACCCCAAAAAAUCUCAAGCUGUCCUUAAACGCACCCUCAGCAAAAGUCGUUGUCAUCGCCAUCAUAUGGCUGCUUCCAUCUUCUGAGCUUGCAACAUACACCCCUUGUGCUUUUCCAAGCAAUGACGACGGCGUAACUGCCGUGCCUUCAAACAAGUCCUCAUCAAUUAUCAGCACUGUUCCAAACUCCAACUCCUGAAGAGUAGCUAUAGCAGGGAAAGAUAAACUAAUACCCGAUAAAUCGAGUGUUUGAGUAGGCAAACCAGUGGCUGGAGCAUUGGGUCUAGGCUCUGGUAGAGGGAUACCUCCAUUAGGAGGAAAAAAGCCUACUGGUUUUGGGAAGGGCAGCUGAUGAUUGACCUUAGUGGUGGCUGGCCUCCACAAGGGCUUAGUUUUGGUGAGCAGAUUUUGCAUGAAGAAAGUGGUGGUGGGGUGAGGUUUAUGGUGGGUUGGGGGUGGUGGAUUGCCUAGGGUUCGAGCUGAGGAUGAAUGUUUGAUGAUGGCCAUGAAUAUGAGCAACCAGGGUAGGCCUAGGAUGGAGAUGAUCAGCUUGGCCAUUGCGAAAGAAUUUGCUUGUGUUUUGGCUACCAGUUUGUUGAUUUAAGGGGAAUGAGAGCAGGGGAGUUGGUCUGAGUUGGGGUGGUUGGUUUGGUAUUUGGUUGUUAUGCAUCAUUUGUUUGAAAUCCUUGCUCAUGAAAGUAAAAAAUUUGGAGAUAUUAAGAUUGCAUUUAGUAGUGAUUUUAGGAAGUGUUUGUAAUUUUUUUUUAUACUUAAAGAUAAAUUUUUUUAAAUUUUUAAGUGUUAAAAAAACUAGAAACACUUCAUAAAAUCAUUGUUAAACGCAUUUUAAAUCAAAUCCAAGGAAAGAGGAAAAGACAAAAAAAAAAAAAAAAAAAAAGACGUAAAUGAAUUUGAAAUAGAACAUAUAAAUAAUAUAUCGGUUUUAAAUCUAUUUUUUUAUUUUUUAUUUUCUUUUCUUUGCAUUAUUUUCAAAUUUUCAAGGAUGAAAGAUAGCACAACGGGUGUUAAGUAUUUCAUAUGUCAUAAUAGUUAGAUAAUUGAUUAAAAUAUAUAUAUAUUUUAAAUUAUUUUUAGAUAGAUGAAGAUAAUACCGAUUUAAAAUUUUUGAUAUUUUUUUUUCAUAUAUUUUGAAUUAAAACUCACUUUUUCUAAAUAUAUCAACUAAAAACACUUUAAGAAAAAAAUAGUAUUAAAGACAUUCUAAUUUUCGAUAUGAAAUAUUAAUAAAAAUAUUUUAUGGUUCAAAUUUUGUUUUAUAUAUAUAUAUUACUUAACAUAAUUAAUAUUUUUUUUUAUUUAAAAAAGAAAAAGAAAAAAGAAAAAGAGAGAAUUAUUAAAAAAUUAACGUUGUUGCACUUGAGAGUUUAUAAAAAUAAUAAAAUAAAUAAUGACAAUAAUAAUAAAUUAAUGAAUAAUAAAUUCGAAGAGAAAACACACAGAGAGGGGUCUAACUCAGAUGUUGGCGCGGGUUGUCCACAAAUAGCUUGCUAGGGUUAAUAUGAAGCCCACCCUCGUUUCUGCAUCUCCGCUCUGGUCUCUCCCUUCUAAACCCUAAACCCACCGUACUAUUUCAGAUCACUCCCAGAAACUCUAAUUCCAAAACCCUAAUUUCCCACUUUGAACCACUAUCAACCUAAUCUUGUUUCCAUCAUCUCUCACAUUCUCGUUAAGCCCCUUCUUCGCUUUUCCAAAAACACUAGUGUUUUUUUUCUUCCCAUUUUUGUCAAGAUUUGGUUGUUCUCUCUCUUUGUUUUUUGUUCGUUCCUCCAAACCUUCGUUUCGUUGUUAGCAUUUUGUCGAAACCCUAUUGUAUUGACAGCGUUCGUCGCCGUUUUGAGCUAUGUAUCUCUACAGUCUUACGCUACAGCAAGCCACAGGCAUAGUUUGUGCGAUUAAUGGCAACUUCUCCGGUGGAAAGUCCCAAGAAAUUGUUGUUGCCAGAGGCAAAGUUCUCGACCUUUUGCGCCCUGACGAAAACGGUAAGAUCCAAACGAUUCUCUCUGUUGAGAUUUUUGGUGCCAUUAGGUCUUUAGCUCAGUUUAGGCUAACCGGGUCUCAAAAGGACUAUAUCGUUGUUGGGUCUGAUUCGGGUCGAAUUGUAAUUCUUGAAUACAACAAAGAGAAGAACGUUUUCGAUAAAAUUCACCAAGAAACUUUCGGGAAAUCGGGCUGUAGGCGAAUAGUUCCGGGGCAGUAUUUGGCAAUAGACCCAAAGGGUCGUGCUGUUAUGAUUGGAGCUUGUGAGAAACAAAAACUUGUUUAUGUGUUGAAUCGAGAUACAGUGGCGAGGUUGACCAUAUCGUCGCCCUUGGAGGCUCAUAAGUCGCAUACUAUAGUGUAUUCGAUUACUGGGGUUGAUUGUGGUUUUGAUAACCCAAUAUUUGCUGCAAUUGAGUUGGAUUACUCCGAGGCGGAUCAGGAUUCGACUGGACAGGCAGCAAGUGAGGCCCAGAAACACCUUACUUUUUAUGAGCUUGAUCUUGGGCUUAACCAUGUGUCUAGGAAAUGGUCGGAGCAGGUUGACAAUGGAGCAAAUAUGCUUGUUACAGUUCCUGGGGGUGGGGAUGGACCAAGUGGUGUUCUUGUGUGUGCUGAAAAUUUUGUGAUUUAUAAGAAUCAGGGUCACCCAGAUGUACGAGCUGUCAUACCUAGGCGGGCAGAUUUACCUGCAGAACGUGGGGUGCUUAUAGUUUCUGCUGCAACACAUAGGCAGAAGUCGAUGUUCUUCUUUCUUUUGCAGACAGAAUAUGGAGAUGUUUUUAAGGUUACUCUGGAACAUGAGAAUGACCGCAUCUCAGAGUUGAAGAUUAAAUAUUUUGAUACAAUCCCAGUUACAUCUUCAAUGUGUGUUCUGAAAUCUGGGUUUUUAUUUGCCGCAUCAGAGUUUGGAAACCAUGGUUUGUAUCAAUUUCAGGCAAUAGGGGAUGAUGCUGAUGUGGAAUCUUCAUCGGCUUCAUUGAUGGAAACAGAAGAGGGUUUCCAGCCUGUGUUUUUCCAGCCUAGAGGACUUAAGAACCUUGUUAGGAUAGACCAAGUUGAGAGCUUGAUGCCAAUAAUGGACAUGAAAGUCUCAAACCUCUUCGAGGAAGAAACCCCUCAAAUAUUUGCACUUUGUGGGAGGGGUCCACGUUCAUCUAUACGGAUUCUGAGGCCAGGUUUGGCCAUCAGUGAGAUGGCUGUUUCGCAGCUUCCUGGUGUCCCAAGUGCAGUUUGGACAGUAAAAAAGAAUGUCAAUGAUGAGUUUGAUGCAUAUAUUGUUGUUUCGUUUGCAAAUGCUACUCUUGUGCUUUCAAUUGGUGAAACAGUUGAAGAAGUAAGUGAUAGUGGGUUUCUUGAUACCACACCAUCCCUUGCUGUUUCUUUGAUAGGUGAUGAUUCCUUGAUGCAAGUUCACCCUAGUGGUAUCCGACAUAUAAGAGAAGAUGGGCGUAUUAAUGAGUGGAGAACUCCUGGAAAGAGGACAAUCGUUAAAGUUGGUUCCAAUAGGCUUCAAGUGGUUAUUGCCCUGAGUGGAGGGGAGCUUAUAUAUUUUGAGGUGGAUAUGACUGGUCAGUUGAUGGAGGUUGAGAAGCAUGAAAUGUCUGGAGAUGUGGCUUGUUUGGACAUUGCCCCGGUUCCUGAAGGAAGACAGAGAUCUCGUUUUCUCGCAGUCGGAUCAUAUGACAACACUAUUCGUAUCUUGUCUUUGGAUCCUGAUGACUGUAUGCAGAUUUUGAGUGUGCAAAGUGUUUCUUCUCCUCCAGAAUCUCUUCUCUUUCUUGAGGUUCAGGCAUCAGUAGGUGGUGAGGAUGGUGCUGAUCACCCUGCUAGUCUUUUUCUUAAUGCUGGUUUGCAGAAUGGUGUUCUGUUCAGAACAGUGGUAGAUAUGGUGACAGGUCAGCUCUCUGAUGCUCGUUCCCGAUUCUUAGGACUGAGAGCCCCGAAGCUAUUCUCUGUUAUUGUGAGAGGCCGACGUGCAAUGCUAUGCUUGUCAAGCCGCCCUUGGCUUGGUUAUAUUCACCAAGGGCAUUUUCUGUUGACACCGCUUUCUUAUGAGACACUUGAAUUUGCUGCCUCAUUUUCAUCUGAUCAGUGUGCUGAAGGUGUGGUUGCUGUUGCCGGGGAUGCGCUGAGGGUCUUUACUAUUGAAAGACUGGGUGAAACAUUUAAUGAAACUGUGAUUCCUUUAAGGUAUACACCGAGAAAGUUUGUUCUUCAACCCAAGCGAAAAUUAUUGGUAGUUAUUGAGAGUGAUCAAGGAGCAUUUGCAGCAGAAGAGCGUGAAGCCGCUAAAAAGGAAUGCUUUGAGGCUGCUGGAAUGGGGGAGAACGGGAAUGGUAAUGUGGAGCAGAUGGAGAAUGGUGGUGACGAUGAAGAUAAGGAUGAUCCCCUCUCUGAUGAACAGUAUGGUUAUCCAAAGGCAGAGUCUGAUAAGUGGGUUUCUUGCAUCAGAAUUCUUGAUCCUAGGACAGCAACCACAACUUGUCUGCUGGAGCUUCAGGAUAAUGAGGCUGCAUUUAGCAUAUGCACUGUGAAUUUCCAUGAUAAAGAGUAUGGAACUCUUUUAGCUGUCGGUACAGCAAAGUCACUGCAGUUUUGGCCCAAAAGAUCUUUUGAUGCAGGUUAUAUUCAUAUUUAUAGGUUUUUGGAAGAUGGGAAAUCCCUUGAAUUAUUGCACAAGACACAAGUGGAAGGUGUUCCUCUUGCUUUAUGCCAGUUCCAGGGAAGAUUACUUGCUGGAAUAGGAUCUGUGCUCAGAUUAUAUGAUUUGGGGAAAAGAAGAUUGCUCAGGAAAUGUGAGAAUAAGCUGUUUCCAAAUACAAUAGUCUCUAUUCACACUUAUCGGGACAGAAUUUAUGUAGGCGACAUUCAAGAGGUAUGUACGCUAAGAAAGUUACAUCUAAAUUUUUUGGAUUGUCAUUUAUCUCUUUUGGAAUGUAUAUUUAUGUGUGUGCAUUGUGAGAGGGUGGUUGUGGUUUGUCUUGGGUUGUCAGGGGAACAGAUUCAUUUUCCCCUAAUCAGAGCAACUAUCUUCUGUGUGAUCUGCUGGUCAGUAGAAGUCCUUCUGGCGAAGUUUGGACCUGUCUGAAUUGAUGAAUUCACAGAUUUUGGCUGCCAAGCACCUCGUUUUAUUUUAUUUUUUUCCUUUUUGGGUUUGGAAGAGUCCUAUGGAAAAGGAAUACAGAUGUCGCCUUUUUUCAAUAACGGGAGAAUAGAUCAUCAUAUGGUUGAAUGGCUGUGCAUUUAUUUGAAUAAUAGAUCAUUUGGCAUUUUGUCAGAAGAGUUUGAAAAGUAAUAUUGCCCAAAAUCAUCCGAUUACAUAAUCCUCAACCAUGUAGUUAUUUUCUAUUGAUUCCAUAAUUUUAUAGGUAUUGACCUUUUUAUAUUCUGGAAUAUGUCAAAAAGUGAGAUGCUUGCAUAGGCCUUUGUUUUAUCCCUUUCAUUAGUACACUUUUCCCCUUUAAUGAACUUACUGACUGUAAAUCUUGAUGUCAUUUUGCAGUCAUUCCAUUAUUGCAAGUAUAGACGGGAUGAAAAUCAACUGUAUAUAUUUGCUGAUGAUAGUGUUCCAAGAUGGUUGACAGCAUCUUACCACAUAGAUUUUGACACCAUGGCAGGAGCCGACAAGUUUGGGAAUAUCUAUUUUGUGAGGUUGCCUCAGGAUGUAUCGGAUGAGGUUGAAGAAGAUCCCACUGGUGGGAAGAUAAAGUGGGAGCAGGGGAAGCUGAAUGGUGCUCCCAACAAGGUAGAGGAGAUAGUACAGUUCCAUGUUGGUGAUGUGGUCACAUGCUUGCAGAAGGCAUCUCUAAUACCAGGUGGUGGAGAGUGCAUCAUCUAUGGGACAGUGAUGGGGAGCUUAGGGGCAUUGCUUGCGUUCACCUCGCGGGAUGAUGUUGACUUCUUUUCUCACUUGGAGAUGCAUAUGAGACAGGAACACCCACCUCUGUGUGGAAGAGAUCACAUGGCUUACAGAUCUGCUUAUUUUCCUGUUAAGGUGAACUCUUUGCUUCAUUGUCCCCUCAAAUGCACACAUUUUUCACAUUGCCAAGUCACCAUAGACCUACUAUAAAUUUCAUUAUUUUUCUCUUUUCUCUUUUCAUUUUAUUUUUUGUUUUUGGUUUUGGAUUUUGUUCUUUUUGUUUUUAGUGGGGAGUUGUUUAUUCAACAAGAACCCUGGACUGGGAUCUAUCAGGGUGCUGAGACUUUUGAUUUUACUUUCUCUUUGGGUUUUCAAGAGUCUAAAGUUAGGCAAUUUCAUCCAAGCUGCUAAGCUUGCAGCUUAGGUCUUGCUUUUGGAUUAGUGCUCUUAAUUCUAUGAGGGUGUGAAUUGAUAUGUUGAAAUAUACAGACUCUUCAUACAUGCAUAUGUACAUAUACAUAUACAUUUAUAGCAUGAUGUUUAAAAUGAAUGAGUCUAUUGAUUAAAUUGAUUUUCUUUGGGAGGGAGGUGGUGGAAGAGUAUAAAGAAAUAGCAACUGUUAGGCAUCUUAUCAUCAUUUUGUGUGUGAAUUCUACAAAACUGCAAUUUCAUUUGAAAUAAUUAUUCCAUUUUAAAGUAGAAGAACAAACAAUUUCAUCCCUUCAGAUACUAUGGGUGGCAUCGAAUGAUUGGGAUUAAUGGAAUGUCCAAAGACCCCUAAAGUGCAUUUAGGCAUUUGAUUAACCAGCAAUUGUGGGCUAAGACAAGCUCCAUUUGUGCACUGUUGACCAGGACUGAACACAUCUACUACCAUUGUUGCUGCUGCUACUACUUAUGAUAACAUUUUCUUAUUUAAAAUGCUUGGUGAUAAGCAACAUGCAUCAUGUUCUUUCUAUUUAUGCUGAAUAUAGAAAUAUUUUAAUUUUUCCCACUUAGGUGCUUGAAUUUUUGAGUCAGUAGUUUUAGUUGGUAAUGGCCCCAACUUAACACUUUGUGGAAUCACCCUGCAGGAUGUGAUUGAUGGGGAUCUAUGUGAGCAGUUUCCUACACUGCCUCUGGAUUUGCAGAGAAAAAUUGCGGAUGAAUUGGACAGAACUCCAGGGGAGAUACUGAAGAAACUUGAAGAAGUUCGAAAUAAGAUCAUUUGAGAAGUAUCAGUUCAAAGGUACAUCAUUUCCUACCCCAGCAACUUGGACAUGCCCUUUCACCUGGAUCAUAUUCUUUUAUUUUAUGAUUCCUCUAAAAGAUCAUGGUGAGGUGAUUCCCACAAGCCUCUCAUGGGUACUGGAAUAAAUUUCUUGAUGUUUCUUUGCAUGAUCCUAUAUUUUUAGCUAAGAUCUGUCUAUUUUAUUGGAACUAAACAUGAAAGGGCUCCAAACAAUUAUCAUGAAUCUGUGCAAUUUUAUUUCUUUGAAUAACUUUAUAUUUAUCUCUGUUUGUUGCUUUGUCCCUGCAUUUCAUACAUACAUACAUUAGGCUUCUUUUCUAUUUUUUCUGUCUUUCGGAUUACCAUAACUCAUUUCCUGAAGAAUUAUUUGGAUUUGGCCUCUGUUGUGUUACACCCAAUAACAAUUCACAUAUGGUACUGUUUGGAGUUUGAAUCUUUAUUAUCAUUGUGCGGACACUCAUCAGUAAUUCGGUUUUGUAUCUUAGGUGCUCUCUUGAGUUUGUGUUCAAAACGGAGAAACGCCGUAUGGAGUUACACUAACAAACGAAGCAUGCUAGUUGUUCCUAGACACUAGAAUAGAUAAUCAGAAGGCCAUGAGACACCUAUUUACAGAUGGAAAAAAAUCAGCGCCUGGGAAAGCUAGAAGUGCUGGGAAAGAAACCCCCCGAAAAAAGGAAUAGCUGCAGCUCAUUAGGCGAGCCUUCCAUUUCUUAUGUUGUAAUUAAGCAAUAACAGAUUUUAUUAGGUCUUUCUUUUUGUGGAUUUGUUGUUGAUGUUGAUCCUCAGAUUCCGUCUCUGCAUACUCUCAUCUUAUUCUCUGGAACACUACCUGUCCCAUUUCCUCUGCAGAAAAUAGAUGUUUAAGAUUUUCUUACUAACCAACCAGGUGAUUGAAUGGCCAUGAUCUCCAUCCUCUGUUUUCAUAAUUCUCACCAGCUGCAUGUUGGGAUUUGAAAUCUCUUUUUUGUAUGUGCUUUACCAUGUUUCAUGGGUUGUGGGUUGUUUAAGAAAUAAACCUAGUUUAGAAUGUAUGCAGUAUGAACUAGGACUUUUUUUUGGGUGGCAAGUCUAUUGUUAAGUUUUAUUUUUAGAUCUUUUGUUUAAACACAAAAAGUCAUUUUUGUAUUGAAUUUUUGACAAAUUCAGACCAUCCAUUUUUUUUUUCACUGAACUAAGAUCUAUGCCAAUGUGAGUUACAAUCCAUCUUUAUACCUAUACCACAGUUUGCAUGUCUAUUAGUCAAUUGAAGGUGCCUUAUUAUUAGUCAAUUGAAGGUAGAAAAGCAUAGGAAAAGGACAACUUUUUGUUCCAUUGGAUAUGGUUAACGAGUGGUUCUUCUUUCGUACUGGGUCACCAUUUCAACAACCGAAUUGCUUCAAAGUCCCUUUUUUUCCUGGGUCAUAAUCCUUUUUUUUUUUCUUUCCUACAUAUAUUAUCAUAAUUUCCAUGAAGGAUUAAAUUAAAAUUAUUCAAAUGCAAACUAAAAUUGAAUCCUAGUAAAAUUAUACAUCCCCACAUCCAAAUUGGCAUAUUCCUGUUAGCAAACCAUCUUCUUCUUGCUGGAGAUGAAACCAUCAUUCCUAGAUUUUCUCUCCUUCUCCAACCUUGAGUUUCCUAUGGCGGACCUCUCAUCCAACCAGUUGAUAAUAUCCGAAAACACCGUGUCUAUAUUCUCAGGCGGCUCACCAGAAGUCAGGCCGUGCCACAUCCCGGGAUAUAGCUUGAAGGUCUUGUCAGCGCUGGCGGCUGUUUCGUGUAACUGCUUGCUGGUUGAUGGAUCCGUCACCUUGUCGUCUCCCCCAUGAACAACUAGAAAAGGCAUUUGUAUCUGUUACAAACACCCCCACCCAAGUUAGAUUUCAAAGGCCAACUUCAAAUACAAAACCAAAAUUUUAUUCGAUAAGUAAAAUGUUUGUAAAUUGGGACCAACCUUGUGGAGAUUCUUUUCCAAGUCUAAGCUGACUCUUAAAAGUUCUUGGCCUGUCUUCAAGCGAAUUCGUCCCUUGUAGCAGUAUGGAUUGGACCGUAUCUGUGGAUUAAUGAUUCAAUUAAUGAGAGAAGGUGAAAUCAAAUUAUUCAAACAAAAUUGGAUUCAAUAAAUUAGAGGGAACACACACCUCUGCUCUUUUUUCUGGUUCUUUGAAGGCCAUUUCUACCACAUCUUCUGUGGGGAUCAUUUUCCAGGUUGGAAUGACCUUGCACAACAUGGUUAGAACAGUGAUCACCACUGGAUUUGGCUUCAUAUCAUCUGCAAUCUUUUUACAUAGAAAAAAAAAUUCUUAGGAAUAUUUACGUUUGUUGUAUGAAAACACGGGAAUAGAAACAUACCUUGCACAUGGGUGCAACCAAGACUGCGCCAUCCCAAUAAUCUGGUGUUUGUCUAUCCAUAUUCAGAGCUAUUGCUCCUCCCAUUGAUUCUCCAUACAGAUAUCUCAUCUUCCCUAUGUUAUCUUUGUGUUCUGUUUUUGUUCACAAACAAGAAAAUCCCACCAAGAAAAGUUGGUAAUUGAAUGGUUUUUAUGUAUCUCUGUGUGUGUUUGGUUGCUAAGAAAACAAAAGGAGAAAUCAGAACUGAAUCGGGAGGAUGGUUUUAAUUACCACAAAUGGUUGAGAAAUAAUUAGCACAGUCGCUAACUAUAUCAUCAAAGCAGGAAAUGAGGCCACCAAGCCCAGAUGAUUUUCCAUGGCCUUCAAAGUCAAUCCCGUAAACUGCAUAUCCUGCCUUUGCCAGCCUCGUUCCAGUAUCUGAAGCCAAUUCAAUAAUCCCCAUAUGAUUCAAAUUUUCCUUUUCCUUUUCCUUCUCAUGGUGAAAAAGAAAAUUUGAAAUUCAAUGGUGUAGAUGCCAUACCAUUCAUGGAGAUGCUGCACUCCAUGGCAUAACCAUGGAGGAUGAAGAUCAAGGCUUUCGGAUCUUGGUUUGCAGGAAACCAUCUGCAUGUGAAGAGCUUCAGUCCUCGAGAAUUCAAUAUAUAUUCCUGCAUAAUUUUUCAAGUCUCAGUCAUGAUUCUCACCAUCCAAACACAACAAAAGGUAAAAAGAAAAAAAAUAAACUCUCAAGUUUUUUUCAACCCAAAACCAGGCCAAGUUGACUAACCUCUUCAUACUUCACAUGAUUUCUCAUUUCGCCCGCCUGGAAAGAAUCACCGACAAAAACAAAAGAACAUCAGAAUGAGAGAUGUGAGAAAAUUAGAGGCCAACAGAGAAAGAGGUGAUGAUUACCAUGAAAGAGGGACCUCAGAAGUCUCUUUUCUGAGAUAAGGAAAAGAGAAAGAAUAGGGAAGUAAUAGAAGAAAGGAAAGGGUGAGAAAAUUACGGAAAUGGAAAGCUUGCCACAAACAGAGGAGUAGGAGAAGGAGAAGAUGAAGGAGGUGGACCAGGUGAUCGUUUGAGGACUGAAUCUUGGCGGUUUAUAUAGAGAAAUCCAAGAGAAGAAUUAGAGGCACUGCUCUCACCACCUUCGGGUCAGCACUUAUCUUAAGGGCCAAUCCAUUUAGGCCAAAGGUUGGGUGGAUUAUUACAAAAUAUUAAGUUUUAAAAAGCAAAGUGUGGUGGGGCUUUUGAUUUGUGUAAAAAAUUUGAAAAAUGAUCUUGGAUUUAAUUGCUUAGAAUUGAUUUGGUAGAUAUUAAAGAAUAAUAAAAUUUCUUAAAUUACACGUUAGAAAUGGUAAAUUUUAUCGGAUUUAUUAUUAUUAUUUUUUGGGAAUAUUUUAUUAUAGAAAAAAAUAAUUUCUAAAUAAAAAAUAAUAUUUAUUUAUAAGCAUAUGAAAUAAGAUUCCUUUUUAACAUGAUAUCGGAUUUUUCUAUUUUUAUUUUUAAAAAAAUUAUAUUUUAAUUGGUUUAUUUUUCACGAAAGACUUUCUCAUCCAUUAUUUUUCUUGAAAAGUUUUCCUUGGUCAAAUGUGUGCACCUUUUUUUCCUUUUUCUUUUUAUAUUUUAAUUAUUUUGUGUCAAGCUGACCACCUAUGGUGUCUUGUUGGUAAGGUUCUCAUAGCAAGUAGCCACAAGAAAAUUCAAAACAAUGAAGGUAAUGAUGUAAACAUGUGAGCGGACCAUAUCAUAAUACAAAAUAAACCUCUUUACAUUUUAUAUUUUUCUUAAAUCUCGUAAAAAAAAAAAAAAAUAAAAUAAAAAAAAAUAUAUAUAUAUAUAUAUAUAAUAUAAAAAUUAAAAUUUUAUUUUUGGUAUUAUUUUUUAUACACAAACAAUAAUUUUUUUUUAACUAAUUUUAUCAAGCGUAUUCACAAUACGACGUAUCCGAAAGGGGUUUUUUCAUCUUAGCAAUAAUUUUAAAAAAAGUAUGAGCAAUAACUUUUAUGUUUUUUUUAUAUUUGAAUUUGAUGUCAAAUAAUAUUUUAUUUUGAUAGAGUUAUAAUGUUUUAUAUGUCAAUUAGUGAUGUUAUAAAUAACGAAUUUUAGGUUUGGAGUUAGGUGUUAAUAUUCAUGAUUAUUGUUGACGUAAGGGUUUGAGACAUUGUAGAUGAGUUAUUUUGAUGCAUUAACUCAGUUGAAAAAAAAAAAAAGUGUUUUUGUCUUUUUGGUUUUUUUGUUUUAUUUUAUUUUAACCGCCACGAGCAUUAAUUUCUUGAUCACAUGAAAAAAUAAAAAUCUAAUUCCAAAAGUUUGGGGCAGGUACGCACACUUUCUAGAUUUGAGCGCGAAUGAAGGAGACGGCAGAGCUGACCAUGCACUUGCGCCGACACGUGCCCACGAUCGUUGACGAGCGCGUUUUUACAAGUGGGCCACGGACAGCCAAUUAUAUUAUGACACGUAAUAUAAUGCUAGCUAUUGUAUUAUUUCAUUUUGGAACAAGAUGGGUAAUUCAUAAAAUAUUAUAAUUAAAAAUGGGUAUUCAUCUCAUGAUUAUUAACACAUUUUCUAAUAUUUAUAAUUUUUUUUAUUUUUGGAAAUUAUAAUGAAAUGAGUGAUGAAAGAGAAUUUGAAUGGUGGUUUCAACGUUUUUUAAGAAUUUGUUUACAUUCUAGACAACAUGGGAAGGGUUGAGAAACCCAAACAUUUUUAUUUGAUUUAUUAUCAAAUAUAAUGAAAAUGAUUUAAUUUUUAUAUUAAUUUUUAAAAAUAAAUAAAAACUAAUAAAUUUUGAAAAAACCCACAAAAUUUUUUAUUAAGUUCAAAAGUUUUUUCUCCUCAUAUUUUCAAUAAUAGAAAACUAUGAGUUCGAAUGGUUUCAUGAAAAACAUGCUUACAAAAUUAAGAGGAAUUUAUAUGUGUAUAACAUUAGGAACAUUCUUCAUAUCUGAUGUGGGAUAUCACAAAUACCCCUCAUAUAAAUACAACAUUUUCGUUGUAUCUCAUAGGAUUAUGAAUCCCAACACCGGGAUCAAAGAUGGGUUCUGAUACUAUUUAUAACGAUUUGCUCCUAAUUAUAUAAAUAUUAUUCGCUCUAAACCUCAAUGAGUCAUUGCAACUUUAAAACAUGUCUACAUAAUUAAAAUAUAUAGAUAUUAUUCGCUCUAAACCUCAAUGAGUCAUUGCAACUUUAAAACAUAUCUACAUAAUUAAAAUAAAUUUAUACUUAUAUGGUAUAAAGAAUGUUCCCCUAUUCGAUGUGGGAUAUCACACAAAUAUUGAAAAGAUAUAACUUCAAAAAAAUUAUUAAUGAAUUAUUUACUUAUCGAUAACAUGAUUCCUAUUUUAACUUUUGCUUGAUUUUAAAAAGAUAUAAGAAACAAUUCAUACUAAAAAACAAUGAUGUUGUUUCUCAUGUUGCAUGUGAAACGAAAACCACACAACAUAUGGAAAGCCAAGAUAAUAGCAAUAAAUUAUUUUUUUUAUACCAUAUGGUAAAAAAGGGAAAAGCUUUAUAUGUGAUAUUCUACCAUCUUUUUAGGCAGUUGAAAGGCCUAGACAAGCCACUAAAUCUUUUAGUGUUGAGAGAUCUCAAUCAAAACCCAUCAAAGUGGAUAUAGACAAAUAUUUUUUGAAAAAAUAUCCAUUUUUAUGAUCAUCAUUUGCUUGAACUAUUUACGGGAAAGUUAAAUAGUCAACUUCCCCAAGCCCUACGAAAGGGGGAAAAGAAACUUAUUUUAUGUGCUGAAUCAUUUUUGUUGGUACUAGAAAAAUACAUGUCAAUUAGGGCCAUCAUUUUGGAAGGAUGCAUGAAGGAGACUAUACAUGUUUGUAACAUGGGAGGUGGUGGGUUGAUUAAAUUCCCCCCAUGUGAUAGUCACUUGAUCCUUGGGUUUCACCUAUACAUGGAUCAAGGAAGUCUCCUAACAAAUCUUUCUUUGAAAUUCUUAAUUUCGUAGAAAACAAGUUUAUAUUAUUUAUUAGAUGGAUUGAUUCUUAAUACUACAAAGUAAUCGAGAUGUUGAAGUCGAAGAGGAAGACUUUGCAAUUAUUUUGAAAAGUAAGGAGAAAGAAUAAGACCCUAUUUAAUAACUGUUUUUGAAAACAGUUCUGAAAAAAUGUUUUUGUUUGGGAACCUAAAAUGUUUUUAAUAUUUUUAAAUAUGUUUUAAAAAUAAUUUUUAUAUUUAUGUUUUAUUUUUAAUUAUUCCAUGUACUUGUAUAAUUAUUUUCUAAAAUCACUUUAAGAAAACAAGCGAAAACAAUAAAACAACUCAAAGAUAUUAUUUGAAAACAACCUGUUUUCUGUUCUUAAAAAUAGACAACAUAAAAAAGUUUGUGGUUAUCAAACAUGUUUUCUUAUUUUUUUGUUCUACAUAAUAGAAAAUUGUUCUUAAAAACAAAUGUCAAACAAACUCUAUGUAAUUUCUAAAGCCGCCGUUACAUAAAAUAACCUUUAAACAUUUUAAUGAUAUACAUUAAGACACAUAGUAUGACACUUGGAUUGUUGAACGUGGUCUCAUAUGUAACAAAAGUAUUUAGGAUUAUUGUGGAAAAUGACUCAAAUUUUAAAUAAAUAUAUGACACAAUUAACUUGUUAGAGUUAAUAUUACAACCAUUUAAUUUUGUAUUCAGUUUAUAUUAGAUGAGAGUUAAAUUGGGAAUCACAAAUGAAUUAUCACAACAUUAUAAAAUGGAGAUUACGAUAUCGUUAAUAUAAUGACUUUGGAUCGAAAUAUAUAUAUAAAUGAUGAAAGAAUGGUUGGAAUUCUCCGCAUGAUCAAAUUUUCUGUUUUUUUGAAAAAUAUAAUACCAAUGUUUCAAAUAUAGAUGAUACCUUUUUAACUAAAAGGAUACUGUUGGGACGUCAUUUGUUUUGAGUAUAUUUGGCUCUGUGCCAGUCAAGGGCGUCACAGAGUGGCCUCCCCAGGAUUCGAACUCGGGACCUUAACCCUGGCAGUUGCCCUCCUGGUAUCAUCUGGGCUACUAUUCGAAUCCUGGGGAGGCCACUCUGUGACGCCCUUGACUGGCACAGAGCCAAAUAUACUCAAAACAAAUGACGUCCCAACAUAAACGUCGGCCUUUUUUGCUCUGGUGCCAGCCGUACCACCGAACUGUGCCAGUCAGGGGCAUCACAGUCGGAAUGGGCCAGCAGCGCAAAGUCUUAUGGGGCCAUUUGUUUAUUUGACCCUUGGGGUGACGUCCCUAGGAUUCGAACUCAAGACCAAGCCUUAAGGUGCUUGAGUGUGCCCUCCUGGUACCAUCUGGGCUAGUAGCCCAGAUGGUACCAGGAGGGCAACUGCCAGGGUUAAGGUCCCGAGUUCGAAUCCUGGGGAGGCCACUCUGUGACGCCCUUGACUGGCACAGAGCCAAAUAUACUCAAAACAAAUGACGUCCCAACAGAUACUACCACGUAAAGUUCAAGAAAUCGCAAACUUAAACUUGUAUCAAGGUGGAGUUAUUCUAUGUUCUUAUUGAUUUAUAACUUCAAAAGCUUAAUAAUUGUUUCAUCAAGAUAUGAUUCAUUUACCAUUUUUUAUAAU